UGGUUCACUCGACAAGCACCGGGCCAACCCCUAGGGGUCCCCACGGCUCGAGAAUGUGACGGUGUGGUUUUUGAAUAAUUUUAAGCCAUUUUUCAGUCCUAAGAGCACGCGACACGCCUGCUACCAGAGUUCAUGCAUGCUGAAUAGGAGACGUUUGGCGCGCCUUUGUUCUUUUUAUUUUUUUAUUUUUUUCGGGUUGGCUUGCGAAGAUGCAUCGAGGCCCUUUCAGUAGUCAUUUCGGUGUUGUUUGGCACGUGGAGUGGGAGGGCACCGCACGCUGUCCAUGCGGGUAGGGGAUGCUGGGUAGGGGAUGCUCAGCUGUUGUGCACUUGCUUUGAUAUUAUUAUACCUUGCUUGGAUAUUGUCUUUGCUUAAAUCCUGUCGUACGAGUAACUUUGCAUGAUCAUUUAGAUAUACAUGACCUAGGAAAAAUAUUUAUAAAAAAAAAAAUGUGUUAAAGAAUGCAUAAAACUAAAUACCCAAUGAGCAAAGCUACCAAAUUGUUCAUCAGCAAAUAAUUAGUGUAAACAAAAUCUCCGUGCCCUGAAUUUUUUACUCACAAAAAUGAAACAAACUCCCAUGUUUUACUCAAUCUUUAAUCGGCUCAUCAUAUAUUAGUGGUGGCUCUUAAAGUAAGAACAAAUGUCAUAAUUAGAAUGAGAUAAUCAAGUUACGAUCGGUAAAGUUUGGGAGAACCUGUGUCAAGGGUAAACAUUGUCUUGCAAGAGGUACCAUUCGUACCCAUUUAGCAAUCCUCAAACUCAUUUGGGAGGGUCGUGGCAAUACUCUAUGCCAACAGACAUGACAUCAAUUAUUUCGAUGAGCUUUUGCAAUAGAAACAAUUAUACAGACAUAGAUAGAUGGCAUUCAAGGUUGAUGCUUAAAUGCAAUUCGCCUUCUUCAUAAACAGGACAACAUAAAGCCAUUUGGCAAUACACAAACAGCCACAUACAUAUGAUGACAUGCUACUUAAGAGCCAGGGCAUAAUAAGUCCUUUUCAAGCAAUUCACAAACCGAUUUAAUGAGAUGCAGAAUUGUCAAUAGGAAUCACCAAUCAGCUCUAAAUUUUGGAAUAUGUUCACUUUUCCACGAUUCUAGAGCAACCAAGAAUGUACCCNNNNNNNNNNNNNNNNNNNNNNNNNNNNNNNNNNNNNNNNNNNNNNNNNNNNNNNNNNNNNNNNNNNNNNNNNNNNNNNNNNNNNNNNNNNNNNNNNNNNNNNNNNNNNNNNNNNNNNNNNNNNNNNNNNNNNNNNNNNNNNNNNNNNNNNNNNNNNNNNNNNNNNNNNNNNNNNNNNNNNNNNNNNNNNNNNNNNNNNNNNNNNNNNNNNNNNNNNNNNNNNNNNNNNNNNNNNNNNNNNNNNNNNNNNNNNNNNNNNNNNNNNNNNNNNNNNNNNNNNNNNNNNNNNNNNNNNNNNNNNNNNNNNNNNNNNNNNNNNNNNNNNNNNNNNNNNNNNNNNNNNNNNNNNNNNNNNNNNNNNNNNNNNNNNNNNNNNNNNNNNNNNNNNNNNNNNNNNNNNNNNNNNNNNNNNNNNNNNNNNNNNNNNNNNNNNNNNNNNNNNNNNNNNNNNNNNNNNNNNNNNNNNNNNNNNNNNNNNNNNNNNNNNNNNNNNNNNNNNNNNNNNNNNNNNNNNNNNNNNNNNNNNNNNNNNNNNNNNNNNNNNNNNNNNNNNNNNNNNNNNNNNNNNNNNNNNNNNNNNNNNNNNNNNNNNNNNNNNNNNNNNNNNNNNNNNNNNNNNNNNNNNNNNNNNNNNNNNNNNNNNNNNNNNNNNNNNNNNNNNNNNNNNNNNNNNNNNNNNNNNNNNNNNNNNNNNNNNNNNNNNNNNNNNNNNNNNNNNNNNNNNNNNNNNNNNNNNNNNNNNNNNNNNNNNNNNNNNNNNNNNNNNNNNNNNNNNNNNNNNNNNNNNNNNNNNNNNNNNNNNNNNNNNNNNNNNNNNNNNNNNNNNNNNNNNNNNNNNNNNNNAUAUACAUAUAUUCUCAUGCCAUCAAAGAAAGCUUUUUUGUACUUUGUAAUUGAAUAGCAGCAUGUAUGUGCAUGACCCUUAUUUUUACAGUUUCUCCCAAGAAAAAGGAUGUUAUUCCACCAUCAUUUUAUCAGCUAAAUAUCUAUAAUACUAAAUGAUUUCAUGAGUAAACUUUCCCAUUUAAUCAUUGUAAGAUGAAUUUAACAUCAGAGCCUCACUUUUACUAUAGAUCUCUUUUCGACAACGAAUACCAUGGACAUUGAUAGAAAAAGAAACAGCUAUUAUAUUUUGAAGAGAUAUUCCCUCCUGAUGAAAUAAAAGAAUAGGCUUAAUGACUUACAUCAAGACCACAAUGUAUAUGGCAAGACCAACUUAACCGCCCAUGAUGCAGGGUCACCAUAUGACUGCAUUUUCUGAGAAAAGCAAUAUUCAGGUAAGGUUCAUUUGGUUCAUAAUUGCGGUUGACUUAAACUUCUGUUUGAUUUUGAGGUCAGUAAGCAGCUGCUUCACUCAUAUGAGCCGCUGAGAAUUCACUCGAUAAAUCAUCCCCAACUAAUUAGAGUUUGAGACAAGUAGUUAAUGGCACAUAGGAUUCAUCACAAUAGGUAACAAACGAGGACAGAAAUAAUCCAGAACUCAGCAUGAUCUGGCUACGUAGAGACAAUUUUUGCUGAUAACUCUCCCAACACAGAGAACCGUGUUGAGAGAAGUACCUCGAUAAUCGACUCCUGAGUUCAGCUUGACGACAACUGGUCUCCCGCGAAUCGAUUUCAGGAAAUCCGCGGGGGUCUUCGUGGUGGCCGACCCUUUCUCUCCUCCUCCUCCGCUCAUCCUCCUAAUCCUCAAUCACUGCUUCCUCUACCUGAAACAGGAAUGCCCACGAUCGUAAUUUAAUCAACGGAAAAGAAACAAAAUUGCACGCUAAUUUAGGCGCAAAAAAGAAAAAAAGAAAAAAACAAAGCUCAUGAACAAACAUAUCUGUGGCACAUCCAUUGUUCACCUCCACCUAUAACAACCCCCAAACAUCAAAACACAGACGACCCUCUUGUGUGCUCGUCUCGUCCCUCGUUUUACAGCAACUCGAAGAAACUUAGAAUGAAAGAUGCACAGGAAAAUGCAGCGAUUCAAGCGAAUUUACAGAGGGGAAACCAACACCAAACCCUUAAAAGAACCAAGAGAAACAAACCCUAAACGGAAAGGAAAGAGGGAGCGAGAAAUUUCGACGAGCAAGAGGUUAAAGCUGAACUCACUUCGCUGGAAGUUCCUGGUUCGAUGCUGGGUCGAAGGCGGAGCGCGCGCUGCAGAGAAAUUGAGAAGAAGAAGAAGAAGCCGUAGCCCGCGCUCUGCAUCGCAUACAUCAGCCCGAGUGUCAAAAUUGUGAAAUAGAGGACUUUUGAGGGGUAGAAUUGGAAGGACAAACUAGAGAGGUAACCCACCAGAUUAUGUUCAGUAUUUCGACCCCGAAAAAAGAAUGUUUAUUAUCUUAUCCACAGCUCUAUGAAAGUCUGGGUCUGGAUGGCAGUUUUGUUAUUUGAAACAUGAGUUUAUUUUGACAAAAAUAAAUAAUUUAAAAAUAUCUUACGAUAAGUAAUUGCUCAAAAAAAGGUAUUUCCACUUAACGAUAUAUCCCUAGAUAUGUCAUUAGUAAUUGAAAAUAUAUUUUGUCCAUUCAUUUUUAUAAAUAAUGUGAACAAUUAUUUAUGGACAAGUACUUUAUGAAUUAUCAUUUUUUGCUCGCUAAUUCAAGACAUGGGAGGCAAGCGUACGGAGCACAGAGCCCGCAUUUUGAUUUUUUGAAAGUUCCAAAUGUUAUGAAUUUUAAAAUAAAGAAAAAUUAAAGGAUAUCAACUAAAAAAAGAAAGGACGAGAAAAGUGUAGUUAUGGUGCUUUGAUAUUUGGUAGGUGAAGAAGAGAUUGGCCAAGUUUGUUUGUUUUUUUGCAAAUUAGUAAAUUUGGAGUCGAUAAUUCUAUUUCAACUGCAUCUAAAUUGAAUCAAGUUAUUUAUGUUUUUGAAUUUGUUUGGGGAAUUUGUGAAAACAAGGAUGCUGUUAUCCAAUCAUGAGAGGAUUAUGCUUAUAGACAGUGUCCUCCAUAAAAAAUUUGAUUGCUAUUUCCUUUUUCUACUUUCCUCGGCCAUAUUCAAGAUCCAAUGAAGAUUGUUAUUAGAAAAAUUAUUGUUAUUAUUAUUAAUAUUAGGACAUGCAUUCCAUCUCUCUACAUAGCUUUCUUAAUUUAAUAUCUUAUACUUGGCGCAAGCACCACGUUUUGUUCAAGAGAAAAGAAAAAUAAAAGUUUCUAAUAUUUUUCUUUUUACUAUAAUUCACAUAAUUUGUCAAAUUUUCUUUUGUUAGACAAUAUUUUUAUUUACUAAAUUCAUAUGGUCCAACGUCACUCCAAUCCACCUUCCACCUUCCAUAACUCCGGAUGGCGCCUCUCCACUGAACGCUCUUCAACCGUCUCCCCAAGCUCCCUCCUUUCCGGACAUCAUGGCCCCGCGCCGCCCGGUUCUCCGCCACGGCGGACGGCGGAGCCCCCGUUCCGCCGUCCUCCGACGCCGCUCCCCCGCCGUACGAGAGCUCUCCGCCCAUCGACGCCGGAUCGUCGAUCCAGAAGCCGAUCAGGCUGUGGCCCGGCAUGUACUUCUCCCCCGUCACCAACGCCCUGUGGGAAGCGAGAUCCAAGAUGUUCGAGGAGGUCGGCGGCGCCGGCGCGAGCGGGAAGGCGGCGGCGCCGCCGCCGGAGAGCGAAUUGGUCCCGCGGAGCCCGUCUAGGAGCAGGAUGAGCAUUUUCUACAAGUUCUCGAGCGAUUAUGUGCUCAGGGAGCAGUACAGGAAUCCUUGGAACGAGAUCAGGAUGGGGAAGCUGGUGGAAGAUCUCGAUGCUCUCGCCGGGACCAUUUGCUAUAAGGUGAAUCGACGAGCUUUGAACGACUAUCGGAUGGCGAUACCUUGAUUUCCUCUUUCUGAAUGUGGUGCCUUUUGUACUCUGCGAUGCUUUUCAUGCUAAAGUUUUCUCGAUGCAUAUCUAAUGGGCUUUUCCUGCGUAAGAUGAAUUGCAUGUGAUGUCAUCGACACUAAUAAGAGUAAUACAGUUAACUGGUGCUUUGAUGAAUUCCUGAUGUAAAACUGACUGAUGGCGGCGCUUAGUUGGUGGUUAAUCAGUUCAAGUAUCUUGCUAUUAGUCGUUUGAAUGUCAAGUCCUUGUUUGAAUAAUCUAGAAUCAGUCAUUUGGUAUUAGAGAGGAGAUCAUUUCUUUGACGGAAAGAUUGAACAACAUGCUUCUUAUUUGCUGUAAGCAGUACCUUGUCUCUAUCAUUCGUAUAAGAGCAUGUCUAAUUUCUCAUCAAUCUUUGUCCGUAUCAGGUUCUGCGAUCAGAGGCUUAAUGCUUAAGUUCUCAAGUGAUCAGUUGUAGUCCAUAUAGUGUGGAAUUCAUCAUUAAAAUUGUGUGUAACAGGACACCCGCCUGUUGUAUUUAGCCUUUUUCUUUUGGACCGGCAUUGCUCCAGCGACGAUGGCACCACGAGGCCUCUAUUACUAGUAACUGCUUCUGUAGACAGGAUGGUUCUCAAAAGGCCAAUCCGUAUUGACAUGGACUUGCAAAUAGCGGGGAGCUGUUAAAUGGGUCGGGUGCUCAUCAAUGGAGAUCCAACUGGAAGUAAGUCCACAGAAGGUGUUAUAUGAAACGGUGCUUCCAAAUGACGAUAGUAUGCUACUUUCUUUCCUAGAGUUGAUGACAUUGCUUUGUUGGCUUGUUGGACAAGAUCAUACAUUUUCAUCUGCUGCCACUAAGCAAUUGCAGGAUGGUAUCACUUUGAUGGCCGUGCCUUAAGUAUAUGUUUAUUCUUCACAAACCAUACUUGCUCUUCCAUGAUUUUGGUACUCUACUUGUAAAAAUUAUGGAGAAAUUUGCUAAUUUUCUCUCCAUCCACCAUUCCCUUAUUACCAAAAAUAAAUAAAUAAAAUAGUAAACCUGUCCAUACUAUAGAGAAGCUUGCUAAUCAACAUCCUCUUGCCAAGAAGUAUUGGUUUGUGAAGGAUCCUGACAUGUUGGUCGAGCACAAUAUUCAGAUAUCAGAUCUUCAUAAAGUUAUCAUUUCCAUGAUAUAGUCUUAUUAUUGAUCCAUUCUGCUGUUUACCUUAAACUGGCAAUUCCAUGCAGAAACCCAGGAUUCUUCAGAUUCAGUUGCACUUACCGCCAGUUUCACAUUUGUGGCUCGUGAUUCUAGAACUGGGAAAUCAGCUCCAGUUAAACCUAUCUCACCAGUGACAGAUAGAGAAAAAUUACUUUGGGAAGAGGCAGAAAAGAGGAAUAAAGUGAGGGAAAAGAAGAGAGAAGAACGUAACAAAUAUGGUAACGUAGAUGACUUGUCCAGGCUGCAGGCUUUACUUGCAGAAGGUCGUGUCUUCUGUGAUAUGCCAGCUCUGGCAGACAGAGAUAGCAUUCUGAUAAAGAGAUACUUGUUUUGAGAACUCGCUAAUUUGCCGGCCACAGCAAAGGAAUAUCCAUGGGAGAAUAUUUGAAGGAUUUUUAAUGCGAAGGGCUUUUAAAUUGGCCUUUUCAAGCACAUAUGCCUUUGCUGGUGUGGCACCCCGGUCCGUUAAAGUUGACCAUGUUGAUUUCUUGAGACCGGUGGGUACUCAUCCUGCGCAUGAUGUAUUUGUAAGUGUAGGAGAUGCUGUUGCAUGACUUAGCUGCUGGCUGAGUGGGGAACCGUGGCAAUCAGCAGCGAUGGUCGCACAUGUGCCUUCACUCUUGCAGUCUGAGGUAUAUGAGUAAAAUUAUGGAUCUGUUAAGUGGAAGAUAUUAUUUUUGGGAUGUUAGUAAUUUUUCCGCCCCAAAUGCUGCAUCCUGUAUACGUAGCUUGACAUUCCAGCUGAACCCCUGACAGAUGUCGAAGUUGUGGCUCAUGUGAUGCAACCUGAGCUCAGGUCAAGCGAGGUACGAGCAGCCCAUGUGUGUUACAUUUUCUUUUAGCAAAUUUUGAUACCCUUCCGCUCCUCUGAUCAGAAGUUAAAGGAUGCUGUGGUAGGGGAUUUAUCUAUUUACUCCCACCUUUUUUUGGACCCAAACUAUCUACCAUCCCUUAACAUAAUGGUCGUGCAUGAUAAAAUUCAAACGGAGAAACAAGAAUGAACUGGUCACUUAGUUGGGGGAUAUUGAAGUCUGCCCUUAAUUUUCAAGAACAAACUGCAUAAUGAAAUGAAUUUUUGUGAAGUCACCAUCUGAGAAUAAAGUGGUUCAGGAAUGGUGGAUUCUAGUCUGUUACAAAUGCGGUUUGUCUGAACCCAUGGCAUCGAAGAUUGAUGCUCGAAUGCAAUUCACCUUCUUCAUAAUCAGGACAGCAUUAAGCGAAUUGGCAAUACACAAAGAGAGAGCCAGAUAUCUACUAUGACAACUUGCUUAAUUAGGAAGAGCUAGAGCAUUUCAAAGCCCUCGUCAAGCAAUUCACAAAUGGAAUUCAUGAGAUGCAGGAUUAUCAGUGAGAAUCACCAAUCAGCUCUAAAAUUUGGAAUAUGUUCACUUUUCCACAAUUCUAGAGCCGCGUUGACCUGCAACCAAGAGCGUACCCAUCAAACAUUAUAUCUACGUAACUCCAACAAGCAACAUUAAAUAGCACCAUCGACGCUAGGCCCCAACUGCCUGAGUCCGCUUUGAAGUGCUGAUGUACAGAACUGCAGUAAGUCAUGCCACUUAGGACCAGCCGAAUUCAGUAAAGAUAAGACUAAAACAUCAGAAAUUUUGGAUACAUCAUUACCGUUAUUUCCUCAUAUAGAAGCAUCGCAAUACUUGUUUUUCAGCUGCCGCCGACGUACUCUUCCGUCUGUUCCAUUGUUAUGUUCAUAUAUCCAGCCGGGCAGGCUAGAAUACCUGCAUAAAACUCCAAGCCAUCAGAACAUAUAAGAACACCACACAACUUCAGGCAGCACAAGAUUGUGGUUCUGGACUAAUCAUCAGUAUAGCCUGCAUAUAGCAUGGGAAGGAGAACAUGCUUGUCAGGAGCAUUUCAGAUUAACUAAUCUAGUAUCAUCCUACUCACCUUUCCUCCAGGUCUCACGCCACAAGCACCAAGGUUAAAUUACUGGAAGUUGACAAGAAAAAACUUGGUCAAAGCACAUAAAGCGCACACUCCAGCUUUUCCUCUAUCAGGAUUUACUACAAAUUGUAAAUUGAGAAAGCUCACUUGAGAAAACGACGGCGUGAAAGGGUAUUACCUAGAAAAAUGCCAAAUCCAAGAGUCGAAAUCUAUUUUCCCUCUCGUCUUGUUGAGUUCCCUCUCUAUCUGCUGGAUAGAGUUCUUCUUCUCUGUUAAACCCUUUGUCUUCAAUCUUCAGUAGAUUACCGUCGCCAUGUGAACGGCAAUUCUUCAUCAUCUCCUUCUCUUCUUGUUCUUCCCAGGCCUAAUCACUUAACCCAUACACAUCUAAUCCUAUUUCUAUCACAUAAGUCAUUGUUCUGCGGGUUUCUGUUCUACUCCCUUGUGGUUUUCUCUGUUUCUCCAUCUGCAUGUCGAUAUUUCUUAGGCUCCCGACCUUCAUCUGUUAAGACAAUACGUCCUUUCAUCAAUGGGUACUGAAGAUGAUCCAGAUGCAUCUCGAGUUGCUGCACUUUGUCAAAAAUUGGGCCGAUUAUGCACAGAAAAAUCAAUUGAAGAAUGGCAAGUUGAACCCCCACCUGGCGCAGUCGAGGAGUGCAAGCUACUAUUAAUUGGUAAAGUUCCUUCCAACCCUUCCUUCAAUUUCCCAGCUUUCCAGUCAGUCUUGAAGAGGGCAUGGAGGUCAGACCAAGCGGAAAUUCUACAGAGAGAAGCGGGAAUUUAUUUAGCCAAAUUUAAGUCUCAAGCUGAAAAAUAGAGAAUUCUCGAUACAGGCCCUUGGCAAUUCUCCGAACAUCUUAUAAAUUUUAAACCCUGGGUAGCCAACACCCCUCUGCACUGCUAUGAUUUCUCUACCUGUGCAUUCUGGGUUCAAGUAAUUGGGUUACCGUUAGAAUGUUGUACCGAUGAUAUGAUACGCAAGGCUGUUAGUUCUGUAGGCCCUGUUCUGCAAGUUAAGUCUGACUUUGCUACUGGUUCCACCCUGAAAGCAGGCCGUGCUCGAGUCGAGUUGGAUUUAUCUGAACCAUUGAAGGUAGGUCGACUAAUUAAAUUCAAAAAUCAAACUCUGUGGUUGGAUUUUCGUUAUGAAAGGUUACCUCAUUACUGUUACUCUUGUGGACGAUUGGGCCAUUAUACAGACUCUUGUCCCACCAUCCCUUUUGAGGAGAACAUGUUCACCGAUGCUGCUAAAACUCCUUACUGUCCCUAGUUAAAAGCUGAAGUUCAGCAGUACAACCCUUACUGGAAGUGUUACUAUGGACAAUCAAUUAUGGAGGAGGAGAGAGAGGAAACCAUACCUGAAACACCUCCCACUGAUAUUUGCCCUCUCCCUCUUCUUCUACCACCUAUUCCUAACACAACCUCCUCUCCACAAAAGGCUACUCCGAUCACACCACAGACUGAUACCUUGGCCAUCACUCCUUCAGUGCAACAAACUCUUACCACCGCUUUGAUUCCAGCAUCAGAGAAGCUUAAAGGAGUGCAAUUGCCGACAUCAGCUCCUCAAGUAAAAAAAGGCAAAAGUAUUCAUCAGAAUAUUAAAAUAGGCUCUGCUAAGAAACCGCAGUGCUAUACUCCCUAUGACUUUCCAGGAGGGCAACAGGGAGUCUAUGAUGACUCCUUCUUGUUGGAUACGCCAAUUAUAGAGGCUUCUGAAGAUGGUUCGUGGGCGACGAUGGCUGGCCCUAAACAGUCACCAAAACAACGAUGAAAAUUAUAAGUUGGAACUGUCAGGGUUUGGGCAAUCCCCUGAUAGUCCUAUCCUUAAAAGCCCUUUUGGCUAAAGAAAAGCCUGACCUGUUAUUUUUUAUGGAGACGAAAAAUGUUGAUGAAGUUCUCCUUCGCCUGAAACGGUCCUUUCGUUUUUUUGCACCACAAGCUGUUUAGCCAUGUUGGCUCUGCAAGUGGCUUAGCUCUUUUUUGGAAUGCUGGGAUCUCGUUGUUAGAUUUCUCCUCCAAUCCGCAUUUUUUGGAUUUUAUUUGUCUGGAUAUCUCGGAUGCCAGAUCUAUGCGGAUUACUUGUAUUCAUGCACCUGCAGUUUAUCAUGACCGUCAGCAUCUUUGGCAGACCUUGCGACAAUUUGGUAGCUAUAAUGUCUUACCUUGGGUGUGCCUUGGCGAUUUUAAUGAAAUUCUUCACCGAUGGGAGAAAAUGGGAUCUUGGCCAGCGGACUCUUAUCGACUUUCUUCCUUUCGAGAGGUCCUCAAUGAUUGCUGCUUGUUGGAUCUACCUUCUCAUGGUUGUGCUUUCACUUGGUCCAAUAACAUAGAUGGGGAAGCCUUGGUGAAGGAGCGUCUAGAUCCAGCUGUAUGUACUGCUGAAUGACGUCACUUACCCGAAUGCUCAAGUGCUGGCUCUCCCUGCAGUAGGAUCAGAUCAUGGCCCACUUGUUUUAGAUACAAAACCCUGUUUGAGUCGACAAAAGAGACACUUUACCUUUGAAGCUUUAUGGAAUCAGGAUCCGGGCUGUUAAUCAGUCAUUGAAACCUCUUGGCACUCUGUCUCGAGGAAGGACUCUCCUCUCCUAGUCAAGCUUCGCGCGGUUGCUACAGCCUUCUCCACUUGGAGUCGCCAGAAUUUCUCCCACAACAGGCAACAGGCAAUGGAAUUAGAGCACCAGUUACAAAUUUUGACAAAUCAGCACCCUACUUUAUUGAAUCAAUCUCGGCAACAAAUGAUAAAAACAGAACUUCAGAAAGCAUGGUAGAGGGAAGAGCAAUUUUGGGCGAUGCGAUCUAGGAUAAACUGGUUAAAGUGGGGAGACCGUAAUACUAAGUUCUUCCAUGCUACCACACUUCAAAGAAGACAACGAAACCAAAUUACUAUAUUGAGGGAUGAACAUUAGCAAUGGGUUAGGGAUCCUGGACAGAUCAAAGAAAUGACUACCGCCUAUUUUUCACAGCUUUAUACAACUUUAGGAUCUCGCCCUUAUGCACAGAUUUUAGAACAGUGUCCACAGAUGGUUAAUGCAGAAAUGAAUACAACACUCCUCGCUCAAGCACUCUUGAAGAAGUUAAAGUGCCACAUUUCAACUAGGUGCUUCAAAAGCACUAGGCCCGGAUGGUUUAAAUGGACUAUUUUAUCAGUCGCAUUGGGAAAUUCUUAAAGUGGACAUUCACAGAGCAGUUCAGCAAUUCUUUACAUCUGGAUCAUUACCUCUACCUUUAAACAGAACUGCUAUAACCCUAAUCCCCAAAACCCCAAACCCAUAAAGCUUGGAUCAUUAUCGUCCUAUUAGCUUGUGCAACUAUGCCUACAAGAUUUUCUCUAAAGUGCUAGCUAAUAGAUUAAAAUCCCUGCUGCCUACGCUGAUUACUGAGGAACAAAGUGCUUUUGUUGCUGGAAGACAGAUUCAGGACAAUGUUCUAAUCGUGCAAUAAGUCAUUCAUCAGCUCAAGACUAGGCAACGGAGGCGUCAUUUUAAAGCGAUUCUUAAGUUAGAUAUGCAGAAAGCUUAUGACCAUGUUGAAUGGGACUUUCUUCAAGAUUAUUUACUUCGAUUGGGCUUUCAUUCCCAUUGGGUCCACCUAAUUAUGCAGUGCAUUUCAACUACAUCUUUCUCUAUCAAAAUGAAUGGUGGGUAUUUACCGAGUUUCCACCCAACUCGAGGGCUGAGGUAGGGAGAUCCCUUAUCCCCUUACUUGUUUAUCCUUAUAGCAAAUCUCUUAUCCUUCCUAAUUAGAAAUGCUAUGGAUAUGGGCUUACUCAAAGGCAUUAAGCUAAAUCAAUGGUGUCUUACUUUAUCACAUCUCUUUUUCGCUGAUGAUGCUGUCUUCUUUCUUGAUGGUACCUUGCUGGAGUGUCAAAACCUAUCUAAUAUUCUAAACCAGUAUUGCCUGGCAUCAGGACAAACUAUUAAUUGAUAUAAAUCUGGAAUUUUCUUCAGUCCUUCUUGCCCUAUCUCUCUCCAGGAAAAUUUGGCUAGUGAAUUAAGGGUACCUGUUUUACAGCGAUGUGGGAAGUAUUUAGGGAUACUUACUGAUUGGGGAAGAUCUAAAAGGGAUAUGUUUUUUUUACUGUUGAGCAGAGUUCAAUCGAAACUAGAAGGGUGGAAGGAGAAACUAAUUUCUAAGGGAGGGAAAGAAGUUCUGUUAAAGACUGUCAUUCAAUCUAUUCUGCAAUAUGCCAUGUUUGUUUUUAAGAUUCCUAUCUCAUUAUGUAAAGUUAUUGAAAAGAGAAUGGCUAAAUUUUGGUGGAGUAAUGAUACAAGCAGAUCUGGAGUUCAUUGGCAGAGUUGGAAAACUUUACAGAAGCGAAAGGCACUAGGUGGAUUGGGCUUCAGAGAUUUCGUGAGUUUUAAUCAAGCCAUGCUUGGUAAGCAGGCAUGGCGUCUUAUGCAUCAACCAUUAUCUUUAUGGGGCAAGUUUUUUAGAAGUUUAUAUUUUCACUCAUCCACCUUUUUUAAAGCUGACAAGGGCUCUCGCCCAUCAUGGGGCUAGCAGAGCCUCUUGAGCGGGAGGGAUGCUAUUUUACUAAAUGUUAGUUGGUCUGUGGGAGAUGGAAAAUGCAUCAAAAUAAGAGAAGACAGAUGGCUUCCUAUGGGAAUUCUAGGUGGACAUAAAGCCCCAGAAGAACCUAUACUAGUAGCUGAUCUUAUUGAUCAGGCUACCAAUUCAUGGAAGAUUGAUUUAUUGUACAGAUUUUUUGACUUGAAAAAUCAUUCAACAGAUCACAGACAUCCAACUCAGGCCUAACUUCACUUCAGAUGCACUUAUAUGGACAUCAAUUAAACAAGGAACGUUUACGGUCAAAUCAGCAUAUCAUGCAAUUAUUCAGACACGAUCAGGUAUCCCAAAUUCUGGUGCUUCAACAUCAUACCAAAUCCCUACCUGGUUAUGGCGCACUAUCUGGAAGAUGCCUGCUGCACCCAAACUCCGUGUAUUCCUCUGGUCCAUCUGUAGCAAUGCCUUGGCAACGAGAGACAACCCGUAUCGAAGACAUAUAUUAGAAAGUCCCUGCUGCCCACUAUGCAAAAAUAAGGUUCCAGAAACUUUAGAACAUAUGUUCUUACUCUGUUCGUGGACUCAAUAGGUGUGGAAUCAUUCCCAGAUCGGGAUCUCAAUCAUUCUCAACAAUAUUCAGCGUCUGGACUCAUGGAUCGUGUUCACAAUUGGGGAAGGAAACCGAUUAUCUCAUCUGGCGUUUAUUUCUCAUGUCCUGUGGCAGAUUUGGCGAGCCUAGAAUGGCUUCAUUUUCAGAGGAACUUCUCCCAAUCCGACGCAGGUGGUAGAAGCGGCACUGACUCACGCUCAGGUAGAUCGGUUAUCUUCGGCUUCCUACACGCAUCAACAGCUCUCGGUCAAAAACAAAUCUCAUCUCUGGCACCCCCCAGAUCCCGGGGUUCUGAAGGUUAAUAUAGAUGGAUCAUAUCAUCAGGGAAGCAAUCACGGUAAUAUAGCUUGUAUUUGCAAGGAUCAUCAAGGCUGACUUACAGAUGGCUUCUCCAUAGGGGUUGUGGCAUUCUCGGCUCUGCAGGUUGAGAUCCAAGCCUUAUCCUUCUCGCUCCGCCAUCUUCUGCAACAAGGGCUUCAAAACGCAAUGAUAAUCAUCGAAUCAGACAAUCUCACUUUGGUGGACACAUUGAAUCGCUGCACAUUGCCGCCAUGGACGGAUCGCUCUCUCUUCUCAGAGGCAGCCUUCCUGUUAACCCUAUUCUUCAAUCUAACACUAGGGUUCUGUCGAAGAGAAGCAAAUGUGGUAGCCGACUGGGCCUGUAAGGCCCAUACUAGCAAUAGUUUGACUUGUAAUUGGGCCCUUCUUUCGCCCCCUCCUCUCUUGAACCUGUUAAGCGCAAACGCUAUAGCCGCUGGUUGUAUGGGUUAUUCCUAUUAAUACAAUAUGAGUUUCCGUUCAAAAAAAAAAAAGGGUACUACCUAUAAUGCCCUCAUUUUCUUGAUAAGGACAUCGGAAUCGAUCAAAUGGCUUUCAAACCACCGAAUCUUAAUUCCAUCUAAGUUCACUGAUUUAUCAUCAAAGACCCCGCUUCUCCCUUUCUCUUUCUCUGCGCUUGUUCUCCCUCCCUCUCCCUCAACACCCAAGAGAAAAAAAAAAUAUGAAGUUCGAAAGCCAGGCUUCUUUUCUUAUUCUCAUGCCAUCAAAGGAAGGUUGCUUGUAUCUUGUAAUUGAAUAGCAGCAUGUAUGUGCAAGAUCCUUGUUUUUGCAGUUUUCCAGGAAACAAAAUGAAUAUCUUGUGCAAUCAUCAUCAAAUCUGCCAAACAUCUAUAAUAUUAAUCCAUUUCAUCAGCAAAACAUUUUUCAUGCAUUUAGCUUGGUUAAAUUAAUUAUAGGAGCACUCUUGAACUAAUGGCAACCUUUUGGACAAUAAGUCCAAUUUGGUGAAUAGAAGACUACUCAAAUAAUUUGUUUAGUGUAUGUCUCGAAGUAUUGGCUACAAUCGGAACGUGAUUGAUCUGAGACACAUUUAAUAGUUUUUACUUUUUAGAGACAAAAUUUUGUUAUCGAAUCAACAUCUCUUUUCUAAAAACGAUGUGCUUGGAACAAAUACUUACACAAAUCCACCGAUAAGAAAAUCAAUCAACUUAUUUGCUAUGUUGAAACCAUACCAUGUCAUUGAAACGUAAUAAUCAAGGAGAAGUAAUUCCAUCAAAUUAAAUAAAAUGGCGAACCGUAUUGAAACUGAAACGAUUAAUUUGUUUUGGUAGGUCGUGUCAUCUUUGUUUUAAUUGUCAAUCGUGCCAUAAGGGUGGGUAAGACUCUAGCGAUGGACACCAAUAAGGGAUAAUGUAACAUGUUGGAAUAAUGCUAUUGGGUCAUAUUAAUAAACUUCUCGACAACGAGAAUCAAGGAUUCAAUUUCAUUUGUGAUCCGGUUACAUCAGUUAUCACAUUGAGAAAAAGCACAAAUAGCUAAAACAAUGUAUGUGUCCCGUGAUCCAAAGAUUCACGUUAAGGAUGUGUUGGCAACUUGCCAAAUAGUAACUGAUUCUAUUUUUUUAUUUUCGGAAAUAGAUUUGGAAUAGAAUCAAUGAUUAAAAGAGAGUUGCUUUUUUGUUCUUGGGAACAAUUCUAGAAUCAAACCAAUCCAAAUUUCUUUUUUUUUUUUUCUUUUUUCUCUUCUUCUUUUCCUCUUGUUCUUCCUCCUUCUCCCUUCUUUUCCACCGUCGCCACCGUUGUUGUCGUUCACCACUGCCGAUCGCCGGCGAUCGGUUAGGCGAGGUCUGAAGACUUGCCCAAUCACUGCCAAGCCUAGUCCCUCCCCUAACCACUAACGAGCCUCGCCUAGCUGGGUGAGGCUCAACCUCGCCGAGCCAAGGCUUAGUCAAGCUUCAACCAGUUCCUGAUGAGGCUUGACCGAUGAGGCGAGGACUCACCGGGGCAGGCGACGCUCCGGCGAGGCCACCGGCCCUCGUUUGGCUAGUCACUGAUCAUUCUAAGGUUGACAAUUGGCCAAAGCUUGAAGAAGAAGAGAAAGAAAAUUUAAAAAAAAAAAAGUAAAAAAAAUUAUUAAAAAAUUAAAAGAAAAUGUUUUGGAUUAGAAAUUUUGAUGAUGGUACCAAACGCAAUUCUAUUCUAGGAAUAGAAAUUUUGGGCAGUUACAAAACGCCUUCAAAUGCUUAGAAAUUAUUCUUAGGAACAUAAUAAAAAAUAAUCAUUUCUGAUUAGAAAUUAUUUCUGAAAUUAAAUGGUUAUCAAACAUACCCUUUAGUCUUUUGUCUUGGUUUAUCCCAUUACUUUAUGCUUCAAUUUCUCUACAGACACAGUCUGCAAACAAUUCUUUUUGUCAUUAUAUUCUCCUCAAAUUUAAUUUUUUUUUAAUCAAAAACAUGUAAUCUAUAUUCACAAAUUAAAAUGGCACUCAAAUGACAAUACAAGAUGACUCAAGAUUCAUGAUGAAACACUUGAGAGUUUCUCGAUGAACAUAUGCUCUUGCGGCACAAAUUUAACAUGUAAAAUAACACUCAAAUGCAAUGACAUGAACAUGUACUCAAACCUUAUGACAUGAAGUUUAAGUGUCAAAAAGACAUUAUCACAAAAUUUAGACUCUAAAUGUCUCAAACAAGCAUGGUAAAAUGCAUAAAUGACAAGAUUUCAUUUUAGCAUUGAUUUCACAGAAUGUGCACAAUUUCAGCCAUCUUAAGUCGUGCAUAAAUCUUAUGAAAAUCCCACAUAUAGAAUAUGCAAUGAUGAACGUUUCUCGUUAAGGAUUCAAAACCUAAAAGGGACCACACAAAUCACAGCAAAAAUGACAAGACAGAUAUGUACAUUUAAACUAUAUACCGAUGCGGCACAUUUUCACCUUAAUUCAUGCAAUUAACUCACUUGCCAAUGUCAAAAUUUACAAAGUAUGCAUCAAUUGAACAUAUGUAUCAUAUAUUUCAACUUUCAUGAAGGAUUUAAAACCAAAUAAGUGUAUUUGUUGACUCGAUUUCAUCAAAACAGAAUUAUGACCAAUGCAAGAUAAUACUGUUUUAUGUUCAGAUUAAGUGAUUUUGACCUCGUUAAACAUGUUUAAAAAUUUCGAAAAAAAAAAAAAAACACAUGACAUGUACUACACUAAUACAAGCAACUUUCAUGAAGGAAAGUCAUUCCAUAACUUAAUACAAAAAUCAAUAAAAAAAAAUGGCAAAAUCAGAUAUCAUUACGAAACAAAUUGACCUAGGCUUAGAUCUAAGUAGAUCUGACCUAGUUAAGUAGGUCCAAAAAUCAUGAAAAAUUACAGGAUGUGCUCAAAAUAAUUUGGAACAAAACUUAUCAAGGCAAGAUUGUCCAAAAAUCAUCACAGAAUGUUACACAAAACUAGUAAAAUCUCAUUUCGGAGUAAUAACAAAACCGAAAAUCUAACUGAGCUAUAGCAGACUUGCUCAUCUUCAGAGAUAUUUUUAGAGGGUCAAACGAUACUCAAUUGAGGUGUGCGGCCUAUCAUUUUUCGAUCAUUUUUCGAAGCUCAGGAUGUCUAUUAUCUAAUGACUCGAAUUGAAAUGAGGUCGUUUUGAACUUUGUUUUGGCCAAAGGUACAAACAUACAAAAAUUACAGAUUCAUAUUUCUAACACUCAAUCAUGUUCUCAAUCAAUCUUCAAUCUCAGCAAAUCAUCGAAUGAUCACAUAAGCCACAUAUCUAAACAUAUUUCAUAGAUCUACUCGCGAAUCCUAGCCCCAGUCGAAUACGCUGACCUCGCUUCAUUGGAUUCGAGUUGAAGAUUUUUACCUUUCUUGUGUUCUCGUCAAUUAUUUGUACGCAAUCAAACGAAGCCUUCAUCGCCAGAGCUCAAACGACACUUCGAAGUUGACGAAUGGACGUCGUGGAUCACCAAGGAAGCGGCUGGACCGUCGAUUUAGGCGCCAAAACAGAACCGGUCCAAUUGGACCGGUCCUCGCGCUUGCCGGAGAAGAUCGGUCACCGGAGAUGCUCCGACCGUCAAUACUCCAAUCCCUGACCACGGUGAGGUCAGCAACCACUGGAGGGAUAGGUCAGCGUGGGUAGGUGCGCCGAUCGAAGUCGCCGGACCUUCAGUUCAAGCGGUGGAAAAAAAAAAAAAAAAAGGUCUAUAUCUGACUGGUUUUGGACCUCCAGGAUGAAGAUCAGCCACCGAAGACAGAUCCAUGGCUGUUUGCUCAAUCCCUGACCUCUGGACAGUCGGGGAUACAAUUGAAAGCAGUUCGGGAAUGGCCAGAGGCUUGGGGAAACGGCCGUUGGACGUCUAUCAAGAAGAAAACGGCGCCUAUUCCACCGCCGGCUCAAACGCCUACGACUCCUGAGCUGUGAUCAAGUCAGAGCAGAGACGAUUAGGAAUCACCAGAGGAGAUGGCAGUCUUCAAUACACCGGAAAGCAAGUGAGGGAGGCCGGUGGAGGUUGUGGAUAGAGGUGCUCGACCGACGAGGUUCCGAUGAGCGGCGAUUUAGGAGCAGCAAGAGAGGCGACGUGAGAAAGGUGGUGGGAGAGAGUGCAUGAGUGGGAAUCAGAGAGACAGAGAGAGAGGAGAGAUAAAAUAAUCCCAUAUCUAGUUUUCUAUAUAAAAAAAAUCCGGCCCCCCUUUUCUAAAGAGAAAAAUCCUAUUUAUAUGUGUUUAAAGGAUGGAAUCCUAGCCCUUCGAUUGAUCUAAAGGCUAAAAUGUCAUCUCAUUUUUAACGAAUCCUAGAUAACAUCCUAAUUAGGCAUAUGUUAAUUUCAAUGGUCAUGAUGCAUUCUCAAUGAAUGGUGAUGAUCUAAUAUUGAGGUAAUGGAUUAGUUGGGGUCCUUUUGUAAUUUCACCAAACUUGGGGGCAAAUUUAGAAAUUUCGUAAAAUCCGAGGAAAUUUUUGAAAUUUGAAAAUUAAGGGCAUAAAUGCAUUUUCCAUGAAGUGGGUUAGCUGAGGGUGGUUUCCAGCCAAAAAAUGAUAGGAAAAAUUCGCCAGUCAACACCGAGUUGACCGGGUUGAAUUUUGUGUUCGAAUUUUAUUCUGUUUUUUCCUAGUUUUACCCAAUUUUAAAAAAAAAAACAAAUAUUUCUAUAUGAAUCAGAUCAAAUGAGGUCUAACUAGGCUAUCUCAAGUUGACUAAUUGGGCAAUUUUUUUUUUUUUUAAAUUCAUUGAAUUCCUAUUGAAGUGAGGCCACAAGUUAAACUCAUAUUUUAAAUUGAACCUCAAUUGGCCAAAUUAAAGCUCAAUUAUUUCAAUUACGUUUUAGUCUAGAAUGGGCCGAGUCAAAUUACAUCAAUUGAAGCAUCUUAGCCAAGUUUCCUAACAUUUGAAUAAGUCAAAUCAACCAAACUAGAAUAUAACUAAGUGAAUCUCCCAAAAUUGAUCCCGCAUUUGGACUUAUCUCAAGAGAAUGAAUGAAAUGCAAUCAUUCGUUUGUAAGUCAUAAAGAAUCGAUUCUAGUAGCCUAAUUAGGGCUCAAAACGAUAAUUCGCAUUUUAACUUGGUAAAUCGUGAAAUUGGAUGCAUAGGUAGAUUUCAAACAGCCCUAAACCAAAUGUCAAAAAAGGAACUCCACCUAAUUAUGACUAGAAUAAAAAUAAUUUUAUUUUUGGUCUAUUUAGAACUUAAAACUAAAAAAUUCAGAAAUCAAGGUUCUUAAUCAAAUUUUGUGAAAUUCCCAACACAAAAAUCAAAUUGAAAUUAAAAGAAAUGUAUUUUGUGGAUUUUUGAAUUUUUUUUCAUUUUUUUGUCAAAUGUUUGACCAAAAGUCAACCAUUUAAUUAACUUUUCCUAAAAGGUUGAUUUUUCGGUCAAAUCUUUGAAUUUUCAAAAAAUUGAUUUGAUAAAGGUGAAAUUAAAGAUAAAUGUAAUCUUUUUGGGUAAAAAGUUAAUUUUGGCCCGGGGUUGACUUUGAUGACGUAUCGACUAAAAAUCAGAUGUCAACAAGAGAGAGAGAGAAAGAGAGAGGAGAGAAAUCUAUGUUUAGUGAGAGAAAAUAUCUGCAAAAUGAGCCCCCUUCAAAAAAUCGAUGGAAAAUCCUUUUAUACUAGUCUCAAAUUGAUCGAUCUUAACCAUUGGUUCAAUUCGAUGGUCAAAAAAUUGAUCUAAGGGGAAAAUUAAAAUUUUAGCUAGACACCCUUAGGAUGCAUCGUAUGAUCGAUUGGAUGGGUCCAAUUUUCCAAAAUUUGAAUUUAAAACGAGAAUUGCACUAAGGGCCUAAUUAGUGACUAAAUCGUAAAUUUCCAAAAUUCAUGAGUUAUUUUGCAAAAUCAUGAAAAUGUGAGGGCAUUGGGGUAAAUUUCACAUGGUGAAGAUCCUAGAACUAAUCUUUGGAGGUCCAGAACCGUCCGACAAUAGGUUGAACCGACUUGCCCCGUCGACAGCCGGUUAGACCGGUUCACACUGAUUUGAUUGGUUUUGAUCAGUUCUGGCCGAUUCUUGCUUAUUUCAGUUCAUGUGGUCCAUGAGGGUUCAAAACUUAUGCAAUUUGGUCUUGAGGGACCAAACAGAAGAGAAAAUUUGCACAAUUUAAGAAGAAAUUGUCUGAUUUUGACCCAAUUAAGCUAAUCAAAUCCCGUGAAUACAAUCUAUUGGUUUUUUGUUGACUUAAUUGAGUGAUUAUUGUGAAAAACAAGAUACAUAAACCAUGGGUACGUGAAAUCGAGUACUAUAUGCUAAAAUGAGCAAUUUUGCAAUUCUUUGGUCAAAAUGCAAAUUAAUUGAAAUUGAGUUCAAUUAAUAUUGCAAUAAAACUUUUGGACCAAUUCCCCAUACUUAGGAUAGUCUAUUGCAUUCAAAUUGACUUUGAAUUAAAGCCACGAGACUUAGGCCAAAAAAGAAUGGAGGUCUAAUAUGAAAAUUGGACCUUGAUUCAUGAAAUUGAAUCAUAGUCUUGAAUGGGUCAAUCAAAAUUUCUUCAAUUAAAACUUGAUGGCUCGAUUUUCUUACAUUAAAGAGAGAAAAAUUCUUCAAAUUACCAGGUUCUCAUGUGAAUUUUUCAAACGGACCUUGGAUUUUGACUUAUCUCAGAAAAAUGAAUGGAAAACAAUAGUCCGUUUGUGAAUCAUGAAAGAUCAAUUUUGACCCCUUAAUUAGGGCUUAAAAUGGUAACUCAACUUUCAACAUGGCAAUACUCAAAAUUGAAUGAACUAGUGGAUUAAAAAUAGUCCAUAGACAAAAUGUCGCAAAAGGAACCAUACUUAAUUAUGACUAAAACAAAAGUAAUUUUAUUUUUGAUCGAUUUAGAACCUAAAAUUGAAAAAUUCGAAAAAUAAGGUUCUUAAUUAAUUUUGUAAAAUUUUCGACACAAAAGUCAAAUUGACACUAAAAUAAAGUGUUUUGAGAAUUUUUUUUCCAAUUUUUUUGUUAAAUUAUUAACCAAAAGUCAACCGUUUAGUUGACUUUUCCUAAAAGGUUAAAUUUUCAACACAAUUUUUGGAUUUUUGAAAAAUUGAUUUGACAUAAGUGAAAUUAAGACUAUUUAACAUCUUUCUGGACAAAAAAUCAAUUUUUUAUCUAGGACUUUUGGUCAAAGGAUUGACCAAAAAAUCAACGUUUGACUUUUCAGUUUUUUCUUGAAAAUGAGUAGGAAAAAACUUAAAAGAAAUAAUGCAAAAAAAAAAUGAAAAAUGACACUUUUUGGUUGAGAAACAAGCUCCGUCACAACCACAAACCAAAAUCUCGAAUUUUUUUAUUUUAUCUUUUUGACGCAUCAACUAAAAAUCAAAUGUCAACACCAAUAAAGUAUUUACUUCACCUAAAUCUUUCAUUUAAAAAAUGAAAGUUAGAUACUUCUAUGUCUUAAUGAUUCCGGUCAUAUUAAUUCAAGUAAAUUCCAAUCAAGAUAACAUUAUCAAUCAAGAAUCCAGCAAAUCUUGAUCAUGUAUGGCAAUUACAACUAUGAAACGACCGAAUACUGGACAUAUAUAACUCUUUUAACCAUGAUGCCAACAAAUCCCAAAAUAGUACAAUAUUAUUAACAUGAAUUUUCUCUUUCAACUCCCAAUACAAAAAUAUAUGCUAACAUGAUCAAAGCAGCAUCAAACUUGCGUGAAACGUUUUUUUUUUUUUUUUUUUAAGGUCAAAAGAUAGUUGUCAUUGCUAAUAUGUUGUGGCACCGCAACCAAGUUCGAAAUCAUUACAUAAUAAGAUUCCUCCCUCAAGUUGGGCCAGGAGCACUUUGCAGUCCUCUAAUAUUGGUUCCACCGUCCAUGGGCUUGGUGCUAAGCCCAUCACACUCUCCACUACAGUUUGGUUGUUAGAUUGUACUUCCCUUUGGAGUCCAGUGGAAACGUGCUGCACUUUGUUCCUCUUUCCUUCGCCACUUUCUGCAGGACUGCACAAAGAGCUAAAGCCUCCACUUUCAUGGCAGAAUCGGCGUCGAUUUCUUUUGCAAAACCAUCUCUGAGGACCCCGUUCUCAUCCCUACAGAUCCCGGCGACUGUUCCCUUGCUCUGGUCUUCCGUCCACGAAGCAUCAACGUUAAAGUUGAAAGAUCCCUUUCCUGGCGAAGCCCAUUUUGCAGGUUCGUCUGUGCGGUUUUUGCUGCACUUUUGUUUCUUGGGGUUCCAUAUGUUGUAAAGCUCCAGAUCUGCUUUUGCUUCGUGCACAGCUUCGCAAGGUCGCAGUUGUUCGCCUUUGAAGACUACUGCGUUCCUCAACUUCCAGAUCUGCCAUAGAACGUCGCCUACUAGCUCCUUCAGCCAAUGGUUGCUGCAAGAGGUGAGUGUUUCUAACAGCCAUUUAUCUAUUCUGGUGAUGUUGUUGGGGGACUACUUGCGUGAAACUUAUGCCGUGAAUAGAUCCUUAAAUCACGACAGAAAAGUCAGGCUCAUUCUUAACAACUUUUGGGCACAUCAACUUGGAGCAUUAUGUCCGAAUUUAACAUGAAUUGCCCAUAACACUUUCUUUUGUCGCGUGUGUAUCAUUUUCUUUGUUGUGGAAGUCUUAAAUAGGGCAUAUCGCAUCUCUUCAACUCUACCAUUAUCCUGCAGAUGGAAUUGAACACCCACACCAAAAAAUGACUAAAGACUAAAAACAAAUAUGAAACCCUCAAUGACAAAUAGUAUAGCAGUUUACAUGCUAAACAUGGAGAUAAAAACAUUGCAUACCUUAGCGUAUAAGUCAAUAAGCAAUUUAGCAUAUUUCAGUUGCCCGCAUACCAGACCUUAUUCCUUGACUACUCCACUGGGCGAGAAGUCCUUUUCAAGCACCGCCCCCAAAAACCAUCAAGAACUACCGUACGCUUCUUCACUCGACAGUUUCUCCCAAUUUGCCCAUCUUCCACUACCAAUUCCGAUGACGUUAACUCCACCCUUAUUGAGUCUCAACGUCGUUUUUACGAGAUGAGACGCCGUCUCGCGUGAUAUGUCCACAAUGGAUUUCGCAUUGUGAGCAAGAGUCUCGUAAUUCAAGACUCCGCCAUCCUUGUCUUCUCUGUCACAAUAGAUGUCGUCAAAAUUAGUAGUGUUGAGUCUCAAGCCAAGCAUCAAAUACAGAGGCAUUGCCAGGCCGGCAAGGUCAUUGGCGAGGCUUGACCUCACCUAGUCAUUUGUGAGGCUCACCCUCGCCAGCCCGACAAUGGUGAGUCUCACCCUCGCGUGGCAAUUUCUAUCCCAAUUAAUUGGCAAAACAUGAAAAUAUCUAGGACUUAAUUGAUAUAAUUAAAAAGUUUCGGAUUGAAUUGAAAAAAAAAAAUAGGUUUACAACUUUUUGGACAAUUUUUCCAAGUAAUAUAUAGAGAGAGCUUCGUGCAUCGAGGGUAUUCUGAAAGAUACACUCGAAUUUACACGAUUAAAACCUCCAUGUUUCAUCAAGGCCCACUUCGUGUUGUGCCUUACGGUGCAUGGCUGUGCCCUUUACCUAGCGUGGACGCCACGUUGGUGGUCAAUACAACCACAACCCAUCUUGCAAAUCGCCUUAUGCACAGAUCUAAUCAGAACUAUCGUGUAGUCGGAGCUUGGCUACAGGCUACGGAUUGAAAGUUCUUUGUUUCGAAAGAGCUUACAUCAUGUUCGAUUCUUGUGGGAUCAUUGUCAUAUGUUUUAAAAACUUAAGCCCUUGUUAGAAGGGCAUAGUAAAAAUCUGAUAUCUUUAUCAAGAGAAAUUACCGGGGGAAUUCAAGCCCGUCAACAUACUCAGUUAGAUCUAUCUUUACUAAAAAAUUUAAAUCAAUAAAUUAUAGACUAACUAGAAUAUAUUAAUUGCUCAAUACACCUAUAUCAUAACAAUCUCCCCCCGCGUGUGAGCUCAGUGUUAACUAUACUCCCUCCUAAUAUUUAAAUUUUCUUACACAUCGUUAAUUGACCAGCCUUGUUUGAGUUCUCUACUGCUUUGUGCGCGCGUUUUCGUUAGCUAGUUUGGCUCUCUUUUGGUGGAGAUAAGGUGCUUCGCGUUAGGCUUCUUUUCUUUUCCUUUGGUGGAUGCUUUGAAUUCUAGUGCGUCUAAAAGAAGACGGAUCUAAGUCUGAAUAGGAAUAGACUUGAGUUUGUCUAUAGUGGUGAGACAGAGAAUGCCAUAGAUUUUCUAUUUAGCGUCUCGCGGAUAUGUCUCUCUGUUUGUGCAUUGCCAAUUGGCUUAGCGUUGACCUGUUUAUGAAGAAGGUGAAUUGUAUUUAAGCAUCAACCUCGGAUGCCAUCUACCUAUGUCUGUAUAAUUGAUUCUAUUGCAAAAGCACAUGGAAUUAUUGAUAUCAUGUCUGAUAGAAUAUACGAAGUCAUAUUUUGUGCUCACAACAGGAAGAGUUGGAUUAGAUUAAUUAACCAGUAAAGUGAUAUCACCACCUCCAAAUUUAUAAGUCCUCGCUUGAAACUUAUACUUUGGUAUCUCGUACAAAGCAAUAAAUUACGAGAAUAACAAUGGCGUUUUAGUUGGUCCAAAUUGCUCAGCGAUAAUAGGAUGCAUCAACACAUUUAUGUCGUUGAAUAUGAAUACAGAAUAUUGAUAUUUCUAAAUCUAUAGCCUGUUCAUGAGAAAAUCACUGCCCCUUGUGUAAAUUUACAAUUUGUCCUUUUCCCUGAAGAAGCAUGACUUAUUGGGUGAACUGAUUAUACACUCAGUACGAGUAGACACAUGCGAGGCUUACUAUGAGGAACGAAAAAGCGAUGUUCUCGGCAUUAGUCACAAUGAUACACGAACAAGUAAAUUCUACUCAUACGAACAUCUGUAGAAAUGUCAUGGCGAUGGAAUACAAGACAGUUGAUGCAGUUGAAAUAUCUAAUUCCAGAAUUGAUUAAACAUGCCACCCCAUUCAGGUUUAUAGAGACAACCGAAAUGAAGCAUCAAUAGCCAAACAAAGGCUAGAAGUUCUCCACCUUUGCUCAGCACCUUCACAUGUGCCUCUCCCUUAAUAUGAAUUGCUGUAUAUGACAACAUCUCAACCCACACUCCACUUAUCACCUUCCACUUCCUAUCGCCAUGGAUUUCCAUCUUUCGAGCCAAAUCGGCCCCUAAGUUGGGCAGGGAUGCUGAAUAUGAGUUUCCUGAAGGAGUCUCAUACAAUCUCUUGCAUAGCCCCUCCACAUCCAUGGUCGCAUCACUGAAUUGACGCCGUAAAGGAAUCAAUGCCGACUCUGAAUGCAUUUGGGCAAUUCCUGCCAUAGCGGACACCAAAUUAGACUGAUUAAGUAAAAGAUACAACAUGUAGUCCGAAAGGAUCUUGCUAAACUCCCUUUCAUCAUUUCUCGCCGUAAAUGGCUUCUCCCAGUUGUAGCAGAUUUCAGUAGCAAGAUGCCAUUUUAUAAUAUUGAAGUCAAAGGUGCCCUCGGUGUACUCUAAAAGAUUACGGCAAUCGCACCCCAUUGGGCUACUCUUGAGAAACAAGUCACCUCUAGCCUCAAAUAUCUUGCUCACCUCUGUAUGAUCUUGUGCAUCCUUAGAUUUACGUCUCACUUCCUCAAAGAUAAAAAUCCAUAGCUUCUUAAUAAAAGGAUUAUGGGAGACAUACUUUGUAUUCGCAAUCAUUUUUAGCUUCCUUUCCGUGUUUCUCAGGCCACACCCUCCAAUGAUUGUUUCACUUGCUUGAUGGAAACAAGAGAUGAUCUUCUCAGUAAUAUGAAAUGGAAAAUUGCGAAUAUUGGAGAAAGUGAUAAUGCCCCAGUGUCGAUCAUGCUUAUACAUCUUUCUCGGACUCUCCUUGAAAAACUCGGAGAAAAGGUUGCAAGCAUAAAUGGAUUCUGACCACCUUCGAAAUAUUAAUGGUGUAUCUAAGACCACAUAAGUAACAUUGGCAUGAGGUCCUGAUUCACAUAUGGCAAAUCGUGGCACCCUGAGUACAUCCAUGGCGGACAACAAUUUGUGGAGGAAUGCAUCUAGUUUAAAUGAUCUUGUGUUGCACCACUUGAUUUCGGCAACAGUCCAAUCGGAGAAAAUGAGCAUGACUAGAGCUAUUGCAUCAAGAGCAAUACCUCCCAAAAGAAGGAAAUAAGUAAUUUCCACAUCAAUUUCCAGGAGGUGAUGCUUUUUCAAUCGAUUGAAUAGGAAGAACGCCGUUACAAUGUUUGUGAAGGCUAUGAAGCGGAAAAUGUAGCUCCAAUUCGAACGUAUUGCUAAUGCUUUUGUCACGCCCCGAUCCUCGGGUACGCACACAUCCUUCUAAUUUGGUCGAUUUUAUAAUGCGAUAUCCCAGGACUAGUAUCGCCGACCCUUUCAUUUAUUAAGCACAUGCGGAAGCAGUUAAAAUCCCCAGAUAAUAAAUCAAUGGGAUAGAAAGGCAGGGCCAUAUUUUUCAUAUUGAAAUUUAUAACCAAACUUUUAUACAAAACACAAAUCACUUCAUAACUAUUCACAUCAAAAUGGAGAUCUCAAAAGAAGAUAGGAUCUCAAUCCAUCCAGGCCAUACUCAAGGCCCAUCUCGGUAUUAUCUUCUUCUUUCAAAAUCCUUCCCUUCAAGUUUCACCUCCAAGAUCUCCUUCCCAGACUUCUCCUCCUCAGCUCCUUAUCGGGUCCUGAAAUGUUUUUCCCCAAACUGGGAUGAGACUACGUCUCAGCGAGUUCUACCCCACUAAGCCCGAUUAGUAAACCACUAUACUAUAGGCUGCCUAUACACGCACAGGACAGAAGACGUACCUUGGCAUCAGAUCCCACCUGCAAGUCAGUACAAUUCAUAAUAGGCACCCAAGCAAUCAUAUCACCGAUCGAAGCAUCGAUCAAAUCGACCUAGUCGAUUACAAGCCAAUAAGACCACUCACGGUCAUUCCCAUUCAAUCAAUCAAUUCACAACAUCAGAUCAAAACAAUGAUCAAUCGACUUAGUCGAUUACAUGCCAACAAGACCAAUCACGGUCAUUCCCAUUCAAUCAAUCAAUUCACAACAUCAGAUCAAAACAAUGAUCAAUCGACCUAGUCGAUUACAUGUCAUUCGGACCACCUCUAGGUCAUUCCCACUCAUACCACGAUUUCCCAGUGGUGUACUCAUUCACCAAAUCACAUGUGUUUCUCGGGCGUCGUUUUCGCCAAUGACAUACCGAUCACCGACACCGUGCAUUCUUUAAGGCGCCGUUUUCACCAGUGAUAACCUUGAUCACCGAACCACGUGUCCUUUCAAGGGCGCCGUUUUCGCCAGGUGACAUCGGCUAUAGACAACAUCGUGCGUUCUUUAAGGCGCCGUUUUCACCAGUGAUAUUCCCAUAACCACCGAACCACGUUUGUCUAUAAGUCAUUUACGUGCGUUCUUUAAGGCGCCGUUUUCGCCAGUGAUACUCUCAAUCACCGAACCACGUAUGUCCAAUAAUAUCGUACCUGAUUGGUCUCAGCCAAUAACAUUCUCAGUUAGCUCUCACCAUUCUCCCUACUAUAUAGCCCAUCAACGUACUGGCGCUAUAUACCCAUACUCAGCCAUCCAUCAAUCAAAUAUUCAAUAACAAACAAUUUAGGACAAUUCAUAAAAUUCCACAAUAAAUUCAAUUCCACACAACGUAGAGCUCAAAUAAAUAAACGGUCUGCACCACGACAAUCAGCACGAAAUUUCGGUCCAUCGGGCCAUCAAAAUCUUAAUUUCCGAAAAAUAAAUAAUUAAUUAAUUAAUUUCGAAAAUUAAUUAAUAAUUAUUAAAAAUCCAAUUUAGCACAAAAUAAAGCCCAAUUAAAUAAACGGACUUCACCACGGUCAUCAGCAUAAAAUUCCGGUCACUGGCCAUCCCAGUUGAAUUUCCGAGAAAUAAAUAAUUAAAUAAUUAAUUUCGGAAAAUAAAUAAAUAAAUACAAUAAAUUCAAUUUAGCACAAUAUAAAGCUCAAUUAAAUAAAUGGACUGCACCACGAUCAUCAGCAUAAAAUUCCAGUUCCGAACCAUCUCGGUUGAAUUUUCGGAAAAUAAAUAAUUAUUUAAUUAAUUUCGAAUAUUAAAUAAUUAAUAUUAAAAAUCCCAUUUAGCUCAAAUUAAAGCCCGAUUAAAUAAACGGACUUCACCACAGUCAUCCGCAUAAUAUUCCGGUUCCGAACCAUCUCCCUUGAAUUUUCGGAAAAUAAAUAAUUAUUUAAUUUAAUUCCGAAAAUUAAUAUUUAAAUACUAAAAAAUCCACUUAGGCCCGAAAAGCCUAAUUGGAGCCCACUAAGGGUCAGGAAAAAUCCCGAGGCACUUCCAACAAUUAGUAGACCACGUCUACUUGCUAAUUGCACAAUCAAUUUAUCUAAAUCACAUCACAAUUGACUAAUAAUUGCUAAUUUAUCAUAAUCUAACAACCUAAACAUAAUUAAUUAAAUCUAAACCAACCUUAAGCAUAAUUAGCCAACUAAUCCAGGAUUAGUGAGAUUACUCACCAAAUCGCACGCAAAUCGGAUCAAUCCGAUGGCGGCGACGCGAGGAACGAUUGUUCCCAAAGCACGGCUCGGGUUUGGGGCCGGGAAACGGUCCAAAAGCGGGCCCGAAGUGCUGGAAACCCACUUCGUGGGUCUGCUGGACGGAGCUGAUCGGGGCUGCUCUGGCGGCUAGGGCGGCAAGGGGAAGCCGGCGGAGGGCGAGGGGGUCGCGGGGGAGGUCCGGCGGGGCUAGGCGGUGGCCGGAGGUGGCCGGACGGUGGCUGGUCGGUGCGGAACAGAGGCGAACAGCGGCUGGUUCGCGCGGCCUGGGCGUGCGCGGACGGCGGAACGGCGGCGAGCGCGCGGGCGGCGGUGCGGCGGUGCGGCGGCGGGACGAGCGGCGAGCGGGCGGCGGUCGCGGCGACGGAGCUGCAGCUUCUGGUCUUCCUCCGCUUCUGGUUCGCUCGAACGGAAGGGGGAAGGAAAUGUCGAGGGAGAGAGAUGAGAGAGAGGAGGGGAGAUAAACAUUGACUGGUCAAAGGAAGAGAGAGAGGGAAUGGGCGGUGGGGAAUUCGCACGAGGGGGAGGGAAAAAGGGGAGAGGAGAGAGAAAGAAAAGAGAGAAAAGAAAGAAAAGAAAAGAGAGGGAGAGAGAGAAAAGAAAUAAAACAAUAGCCUUAAUUUUCUUUUCUUUUCUCUUUCCUUUUCUAUUUCUUUUCGGGCUUCAAAUUUUCUUCCGAUAAUUUCUUUCUUGAAAUUUCGGACUCGUCAAUAAAUUGACGAGCGAUGAGACAAAAUCCUAAAAAUAAGAAUUGUGACGAGCUUAAAAUUCGAUUCCCGAAAUCGAGUUCAAUUUCGUGGUUAAAAAUCGAUCAGACGUGAUUUUAGCUCAAUCUAACCAAUUAGGUAGCUUUUAGGGAUUUUACGGCCGAUACAUCCCUUAACGGCUUCACCCAAUAGGUUAGUUAACUCGUGAAUGAUCAGCUCAGAGAAAAAGGGCCGUAAACACGUUGACGAAAUGCCCAUUUCACUUUAUCGAAACGGGGUCGAAUUUCAGGAUGUCACACUUUUGUGUGGAGCACCUCGUACAUGAAAUGUAGUUCAACUGAUAUCACCCUCAAUGCAUCCAGUGCAGAAACUUUGUGAAAAUAUCUGCGGCUUAUUGCGCGUUGUCGACCUGUGUAGAGGAAAUCUAUGAGGAAGACCUUGAAAAUUUGAAAGAAGUAGUAAGCAUGCUUUACCACAAUGCUCUCGGCAAGCAUUGCUUCUUCUUCUUCCUUCACUUGAACAUUGAGUUCUUCAAUCAACUCGUUAUCUGCAUCAUCCGAUAUCAUGUGCUGUGAGUACACCCAUUCCCUGAGCCUUGGGUGGCUUGAGAGAUUAAGCGCCAAUGUUCUCUCCGCAUUUUUUGUGAUUGCGGCAAGAAAUACCAGCAUUGUUGGGAUCGCCAUCGACUUGUCGUUGGGAAAUAUUUGCACAAAGAUAUAGAUGGCGGCACAAAUUUGGAAGACGAGACCGAGCAGGUGCCGUGGCCACAGUGAACUAUCCUCCAUAGAAAAGGCAACAAUGGUGUCUGGACCGCCAAGAUGCAAUAAGAGAAAUGAGCCCCAAAAUGCCUGAAGUGCUCCGUCUACUUCAGCUGCACAAGUGCAUGAAUUACCUUGGUUGUUAGAGAUGACCCCGAUUGCAAAUGCUGCUACCCAGUCGGCCAUCAAAUAGGUCAACCACAAAAGCGAAACAAUGUGAUGGUUUGCUAUUUUCUUUCUAAGGGGUGCAAACAGAAUGAGAAAGACUUGAAGCGAGAGACUUAGUAUGACGAAACCUCGAAUGUUCCAUUCGUUCCAUACAACCCAAAUGGAGCUAAACAUGUUUUUGGUUAGUCUCUUCUCUCAAAUAUAAUUUCGGGGCAACAAGAUGUAUAGGAGGAAUGGUGAGGAAUGUAUAUAUGCAUGUUAAAAUGGUUCCAUGUUUAUGGUAUCCAGUCAAAAACCAAGAAGGAAGAAUAAUCAUGAACGAACUAUUUCCCGUACAAAAUGAAGCCCGGGAUAGAUCCAACUAUGAGUUGAUUUAACCACCAGUGGAGUAAAUUAAAUGUUUACGCUGGGCCAUGUGUCCCCGAAAGUGGACGACACCAUUAGGUUAUUAAUUGCUAAACCCGUCCAUUAUUAGGUACUUCACAAGGCAUUUUAGCAAUAUAUAUAUGGUACUCCACAAGACAAUGAGAAUGUCAUUCACUCAAUUUUGAUCUUGAUUCAACCAAUUAUAAAAAUUCACCAUAAAGUUUUCUUUAGCCAAAGAAAUGGGAAAACAAAAUUGUAAGCGAGAGCCAUAUUGGAGUUAAAAUAAGUAGGACGCUCGAAAAAGGCGUCUCCCACCAAAGCAAGGGGCCAUUGGUUUUCAAUAAUCAGGAAUCUCUCUUUGUAAACAUAUUUUUUUGUUCUUUUUUUUUUCUUGAUCAUCGAUUUCUACAACCUGAAAUUGUUCCCUUACUUUCUUUUUCUUUAUAACUAGACAAGAUUAGCUGUUAUAAAAUUAAAAUUUAUAGGAAGAAUAUAAUAAAUUUUAGUUAAUAUUGCACGGGCUCAAUUUGACAAAACAAAAUGAAGAGACAAUCUGUGCAUUAAGACACUGACGUGACUCAACAUUCUACCAAAUUUGAUUUUGUGCAAGUUCAGAACAUUGCAGGGAGACUGAAGUAAUUGAGCCGGGCUAAGGAUUGUAGCAUCGCUUUAUUCGACGGUUGCUUCUGGAUACAAAGUCAUGACUCGAAACAAUAAGCAUCACCCACCUAAUAUAUUUCUUCAUGCAUGAGAUAUUGUCAAUAAGCAAUAAUUUUGACCCAAUUCCAUGGGCGACAAAUCUUACAUUGUCCUAGACAAUGAACCUAAAUAUAAAGAGGGAAAAAGGUGAGAAAUAGGAAAGAAAAAAACAUAUUGCCCUACAUUGACAAAAGGUAAAAGGAUGAGAAAAGAGAACCCCUUCAUAUGGACAAAACUCAUCGAGUUCAUCCCACGCCAACUUUUAAAAAGAUCAUAAUAAAGAUAAAGAGAGAUUCCUGAUUUGUGGAGAACCUGUUGCCACUUGCUUUGAUGGGAUUCAGACAUGCCUUUUUGGCUUAUAUCAUCCACAUGAAAGGGAAAGUAAACUUUUGAGAGGAAUUCUGUCAAUGGUUGAAUCGAGAUCAAAAUUGAGUGAAAGCCUUUCAUUAAAAGCGCAUUAUCAUUAUCUUGUGAAGUACAUAAUCAUUGAGUGAAAUGAUAUUAUUCUUAUAUCUGUUGAAAUAUGUGGUUCGCGUUUUCCAUUAUCUUUGAAAGCACAUUGUCAUUGCCAUUAUUAUAUGCGGAAUGAUUAGUUCAUGAUUUCUUUUACCUUCUUGGAUUUUUUAAUUUGUUCAUUCUUCUGACGUAUAAGUCAGGAAGCAUCUCAACAUGUAUAUAUGCACAUUUUGCUGUAAUUUCGUUAAAUCAACUAACGUUCAACAUCACGCAUCACUGAAAUCUGCUGAUGGACACCGAUCUCAUAAAAUUAUUGUCUGAUGGAGAAAAUCUGACUAGUUUCAUGCAUGUAGCCAUUCACUUGAACUGAAAAAUAAAUGUGCAAAUGCCAUCUCUACACGUAGUACACUCUCUUCAGGUCGAUAAUUUUCCUUCUAUGUUCAGUUACCUUAAACAGAAUUUUCAUCAACGUAAUCCUUGUCAGCUAAUCUUGUCUAGUUUGGGCUAUGAUAAUCAAUAAUCGAGAAAAUAAGAAGAUAAGAUAGAUUCCUGGUUUGUGAAAACCUCUAGCCACUUGCUUUGGCGGGAGAGAGACGUGCCUUUUUGGAGCAUCCCGCUUGUAUAAACUCCAAUUUGGCUUUUGCCUUCUUCCUCUUUUCAUUGGCUAAAGCACACUUUUGGUGAACUUUUGUCCCGCGAAGCAAGAUCAUAAUGAAGGGUUUAGCAAUUAAUAACCUAAUGGCGUUUUCCACUUUUGUGGACCCACGACCCAAUGUAAACAUUCAAUUUAAUCCACUAGUAGUUAAACCAACUCAAGUUAGAUAAAUCUCGAGCUUCAUUUCAUUCACGGAAUGGUUGGUUUACGAUUUUUGCACUUUUAGGUUUUUGCAUAAAAACUAUCUUUUGACAAACAAGGGACCAUCUCAAUUUGUAUAUGUACAUUCCUUGCUAUUCCUCCCCUGCUAUUCUUACUGAAAUUAUAUUGCACGGAGCGAUCAAAUUCAAACCUAGCAUAGACAUGGGUUUUAACUUCAUUGUGGAUCUAUGGAACAAAUUGAAUAUUUAAGGCCUCGUCAUCCUUGUAUAAAUAUUUAAGCUAAAAAUAUUUAAGUAUUACGCUCCACUCUACGCUUAGUUGUAAAUUUCUACUUCCCUAGUAAUGUCUGCAAAGACUGUUUGCUUGAUGCAUGUAAACUCUCCUGACUGAUAGUUGAGAGGAUAGUUUUGUUGCAAUCAAAAUUGUACUGGAAAGGGAAAAUAAAAUUUUAAGUAAAAACAUGGCAUUUAGCUCAUUUUUCUCUAUGGAACAAAUGGAUCAUCUAAGGUUUUAUCAUACUGAAUCUCUCCCUUCUAGUCUUUCUUUUUCUAUUUGCUCCCGUUAGAAAGAAAAUAGUGAAUCACUGCAUCGUUUUCCUCUUGCAAUUGACUUAUUUGAUGGCUAUAGUUUUUCCCAAAAAAAAAAAACAAUAAAAGCAAAAUGAAUAUCUUGUGCAAUCAUCAUUUAAUCUACCAAAUAUUAAUAUUUUUGCUUUUUUAAUACCAAGGAUUCAGUCUAGCUCACUUUCGGGAGCACAACACCGACUAUACCUCAAGAGAGACUAGCCCAACAACCCACCGCUGAGCCCCCCGCUUAAAUCACAGAACUACUUUAAGAGUCGUGAACGACUCAGAGAGUCGAACCCCUAACCCGAUGGCCAAAUCAGGGGGUACGCCUCAAUCAGUGCAGCCAUGCGUGGGUGGGUGCCACAUAUUAAUAUUACUAAUUGGUUUCAUGAACAAACCACUUUUUCUAAGUUACCUUUUGCUUGGCGGCCCUUGCCAGCACUUCUGGGAAGAUGAUUUUGUCAAUUCUCAUUUGUUGGGUGUUGUAUGAUUUUGCUAUCGAUCUAAAAGUACUGAUAUUUGGCAGAACUGUUGAGUUCUUCAACUAGGUUGAUUUACCUUGGAUCGAGGUAAAUCAUUGGAUAUACAGAUGAGAGUAAUCUAUUUAUAAUGAUAAUUUGAGCCAUCUUAUUUGUCAAAUUUUUAUACUCAAAGGGAUGAGAAAAUGCACCUAGCGUGAUUAUCUUCUUUGAAUGUAACCUUACAUAAUUAUAAAUUUGGAAUCUUUACCAGAUUCCAAUCAUGACAAUCAGGUGAGGAGAAAGAAGAAAAUUAAAAUUUUGCCCUACAUGACAAAAUGCAAGAGGGUGGGAAAAGAGAAGAAAAGGAUUACAAUAAUACAAAAAGAUGAAGAAGUGUUUUGUCUCGUUGGGGCAUGGUGGACAAAGUUUAUGCCUAUUAAACUGCCUAAUUUGAUUAGAUUUCACUAAGAGAGUUGUUAAAUUGUAAGCCAACUAAUUGAUUGAGUCAUUCAUUUUCACUCUGAAUAUCCCAUGUUAAAGUUUGAGAAUGUGAUCGCCUUUCAUGUUUUUCUCGUGAGACUUACCAUCUUGAAAAAUAAAAUUCACUGCUCAAAUGGUUAAGAGAGUUAAAGGGGAUAAUAUAUUCCAUUGACAGUGCUUAAAAAUUCGCCUCAUUAAUAGUGCAUUCAACAACCUCUUCAUUGGAUUUAUGUUUGUUGGGUCUCUUUUAUCUCUUAUGGAACAUUGACAAAAAAAAAUGAAGAAUACGCACAAGCUUAUCUGAUUUACAAUCAACCUCAUACCUCACAUUAGUUCAAGUAAAAAGAAGUCAUAUCUACUGGAACACUACGUUCGAGACAUAAAUAGCUGCUAGAUUAUGAGGAGAUGAUAGCAUGUCACAUUCACACGUACAAAAGGACCCCUGUUAACCAAGCAAUUUCCCGGAAUCUCUCAUCAUCUAACAAAACGCAUAAGAUCCAAAGAGCUAGUGGCCAUUAUCCAAAAAGUCUUUAGUCUUUUUUGAAGUAUUUUAUGGACUCAUUAUAGACAGAAUCUCUUAAAGUAGAUAGUAGGGGGACAAAGAAGACCUACUUUACUUCAUGGAAACCUUUUUAAAGGAACUUUAUGGACUAACUAUUGAAAAGGGGAAAAAGGUCCAUCAUGCCCAAAUAAUACAUAAACCUUGACUCGAUCAAGACUUAGCGAUGCUCUAAACUAGUAUAUUCUGAGAUAGUCUUUAUCAAAUCAAUGCAUAAAAUAUAGUUGCAUUUUCAUUUAUAAGAAAUUAUAUAUUCUUUAUCACAUGGUUUUAUGUAAUAUAGUUAUGUGUUGUAAGGCCAAAAAAUUAAUUGUAUGUAUUCCAAACUCAAUUGCAAUCAAUACCCACAUAUUCAACUCUCUGUAAUAGAUCAGUAAUCCAACCAUUCAUUAUAUUUGCGAAUGACAUAAAUUUAAAAAAAUAGUGUGAAAGUAUGCAUAGUAAAAGACCAAAAUGCGAGGACUCGCCACGUAAUAGCAAAUGACAAUAGUGCAAGAAAGCAAUUGAAAUAAUGUUGUUGUGUCAUAUCAUUUAAUUUGUUAUUAAUGAAAAUCAAGAAUUCGAUUCCAUUUGUGGUCCAGUCAUAUCAGAAAUCACUUACACCAUAAACAAAAGGUGGGUCUUAAUUAGAAGUCCCUCUUUUUUAUGUGGUCCAAUUUGUCAUACUUUUUCAAAAUAAGAAACUAUUUUUUUUAUAACUAUUUUUGCCCAAGCACUCAACAAUAAAUCGUAUAAUAAAUGAAAAGGACGAAUAAAGGAAAAUUGAGAACUGGACAUUUUCGACUUCUAAGAAACACAAGAAAAUUGCAAAUAAUAAUAAUGCAAAAAAAUGAAGAAGUGUUUUGUCUCAUUGGGGGCAUGGUGGACAGAGUUUAUGCAUAUUAAAUUGUGCAAUUUGAUUAGAUUUCACUAAAAAUGUAAAUUCUUAAAUUAUAAGCCAAUUAAUUGAUAGAGUCGUUCAUUUUCAUUAUAAAAAUUGCAUAUGAAAUUUGAGGAUCUGAUCGCCUUUCAUGUUUUUCUUGUGAGACCUACCAUCAUGAAAGAUAGAAUUCAUUGUUCAAAUGGUUAAGAGAGUUGAAUGGGAGAAUAUAUUCCAUUGAUUGUGUUUCAAAAUUCGCCUCAUCAAUAAUACAUUCAACAACCUCCUCGUUGGAUUUAUGUUUGUAUAGUCUCUUUUAUCUCUUACUAGAUAUUAACCAAAAAAUGAAGAAUACGCAUGAGCUGAUCUAAUUUACCACCAACCUCAUACCUCACAUUAGCUCAAGUAAAAAGAAGUCAUAUCUACUGAAACACUAUGUUCGAGAUAUAAACAAAUGUUGGAGUAUGAGGAGAUGAUAACAUGUCACAUUCACAUACAUGAAAGGUCCCCUAUUGGCCAAGUAAUUACCGAAAAUCCCUCGUUAUUUGACAAAAUGAGUAAGAUCCAAAGAGGUAGUGACCAUUCUCCAAAAAUUCUUGGUCCUUUUUAAAAUACUUUAUGUACUAAUUGUGAACAUAAUCUCUUAAAGUAGAUAGUGGGAAAAAAAGAAGACUAACUAAAAAAUGGUCCAUCAAAUAAUACAUAAACCUUGAUUCGAUCAAGAGUUAGCGAUGCCUCUAAACUAGUAUAUUCUUAGAUACUCUUUAUUGAAUUGAUGCAUAAAAUAUGGUUGCAUUUUCAUUUGUAAGAUAUUAAAUAUUCUCUGUCACAAUGUUUUAUAUAAUAUAGUUAUGAGUUGUAUGGCCAAAAAGUUAAUUGUAUGUAUUCCAAAUUGAAUUGUAAUCAAUACACACAUACCCAACUCUCAAUAAGAGGUCAGCAUCCAAACAUUCAUUAUGUUUGCAAAUGCCAUAUGUUAAAAAAGAUAACGUGGAAAUAUGCAUGCCAAAAGACCAAAAUGCGAGGACUUGCCUAGCAAUAGCAAAUGACAACAUUGCAAGAAAGCGAUUGAAAUAAUGUUGUUAUGUCAUAUCAUUUAACUUGUACAUUCAAUAACCUCCUCAUUGGAUUUAUGCUUGCCUAGUCUCUUUUAUCUUAUACUAAACAUUGACUAAAAAAUGAAGAAUAUGCACAAGCUGAUUCGAUUUACAACCAACCUCAUACCUCACAUUUGUUCAAGUAAAAAGAAGUCACAUCUACUUGAACACUACGUUCAAGACAUAAACAGAUGAUGGAUCAUGAGGAGAUGAUAGCAUGUUGCAUUCACACAUACGAAAGGUCCACUGUUGGCCAAGCAAUUAUCGAGAAUCCCUCACUAUCUGACAAAGCGCACAAGAUCCAAAGAGGUAAUGGCCAUUCUCCUUAAAGUCUUGGUCUUUUUUUAAGUACUCAAUGGACUAAUUGUGGACAGAAUCUCUUAAAGUAGAUAGUGGGGGGAAAAGUAGACCUACUUGACUUCGUGAAAACCUUUUUAAAAGAACUUUAUGGACCAAUUGUCCAAAGAGAAAAAUAAAAAUAAAGGUCCAUCUUGCCCAAAUAAUACAUAAACCUUGACUCAAUCAAGACUUAGCCAUCGCUCUGAACUACUAUAUUUUGAGAUACUCUUCAUUAAAUCGAUGCAUAAAAUAUAGUUGCAUUUUCAUUUAUAAGGCAUUAUAUAUUCUUUGUUACAUGGUUUUAUGUAAUAUAGUUAUACGUUGUAUGGCCAAAAAAUUAAUUGUAUGUAUUCCAAACUAAAUUGUAAUCAAUACUCAUGUACUCAACUUUAAGUAAGAGAUCAGCAAUCCAAACAUUCAUUAUGUUUGCAAAAGAUAGCAUGGUAGUAUGCAUGGCAAAAGAGACUUGCCUAACAAUAGCAAAUGAUGAUGGUGUAAAAAAGUGAUGGAAAUAAUGUUGUUAUGUCAUAUCAUUUAACUUGACAUUAGUGAGAAUCAAGGAUUUGAUUCCAUUUGUAGUUGGGUCAUAUUAGAAAUCAUUUAGGCUAUAAACAAAAUGUGGAUCUUAAUUAGAUGUCCCUCUAUUUUUAUGCGAUCCCAUUUGUCAUACUUUUUCAAAAGAAGAAACUAUCAUUUUUUUUAUAACUAUUUUUGCCCAAGCUCUCGAUAGUGAAUGGUAUAGUAGAUUAAAUGGGCAAAUAAAGGAAAAUCGAGAACUAGAAAUUUUCAACUUCCUAGAAACACAAAGAAACCAAAGAUAACAAUCAUACAAAAAGAUGAAUAAGUGUUUUGUCUUGUUAAGGCAUGGUGGACAAAGUUUAUGCCUAUUAAACUACAUAAUCUGAUUAGAUUUCACUAAGAGCAUAAGUGCUGAAUUAUAAGCCAACUAAUUGAUUGAGUUCAUUUUUAUUAUGAAAAUCUAAUGUUAAAAUUUGAGGAUGUGAUCUCCUUUUAUAUUUUUUCUUAUGAGACUUACUAUCUUGAAAGAUAGAAUUCACUUCUCAAAGGGUUAAAAGAGUUGAAGAGGAGAAUAUUUUCCGUUGACAGUGCUUCAAAAUUCGUCUCAUCAAUAGUGCAUUCAACAACCUCCUCAUUGGAUUUAUACUUAUCUGGUCUCUUUUAUCUCUUACUAAACAUUGACAAAAAAAAAAUGAAGAAUACGCACAAGCUAAUUUGAUUUACAACCAACCUCAUAUCUCACAUUAGUUCAAGCAAAAAUAAGUCAUAUUUAUUGGAGCACUACGUCCAAGAUAUAAACAGAUACUGGAGCAUGAGGAGAUGAUAGCAUGUCAUAUUCACACACAAGAAAAGUCCUCUGUUGACCAAGCAAUUACCGAGAAUCGCUCGUUAUCCAACAAAACACGUAAAAUCCAAAGAGGUAAAAACCAUUCUCUAGAAAGUCUUGGUUUUUCUUAAAGUACUUUAUGAACUAAUUAUGGACAUAAUCUUUUAAAGGAGAUAGUUUUUUUUUUUUUUUGAGAGGGGGGGAGACCUACUUGACUUCAUGGAAACCUUUUUAAAGGAACUUUAUGGACUAAUUGUCCAAAGAGGAAAACAAAAAAAAGGUCCAUCCUCCCCAAAUAAUACAUAAACCUUAACUCGAUUAACACUUAGCAAUGACUCUAAACUAGUAUAUUAUAAGAUACUCUUCAUUAAUUCGAUGCAUAAAAUAUAUUUGCAUUCUCAUUUAUAAGACAUUAUAUAUUCUCUGUCACAUGGUUUCAUGUAAUAUAGUUAUGUGCUGUAGGGCCAAAAAAUUAAUUGUAUGUAUUCCAAAUUGAAUUGUAAUCAAUAUCCACAUACUCAACUCCUAGUAAGAGAUCGGCAACCCAAACAUUUAUUAUGUUUGCGAAUGUCAUAUAUUCAAAAAGAUAGCAUGGAAGUAUGCAUGGCAAAAAACUAAUAUGCGAGGACUCGCCUAACCAUAACAAAUGACGAUGUUGCAAGAAAGCAAUUAAAAUAUUGUUGUUGUGUCAUAUUAUUUAACUUGUUAUUAACGAGAAUUAAGGAUUUGAUUUCAUUUGUAGUCUAGUCAUAUCAAAAAUCAUUUAGGCUAUAAACAAAUGUGGGUCUUAAUUAGAUGUCCCUUUAUUUUUAUGCAGUCUCAUUUGUCAUACUUUUUCAAAAGAAGAAACUAUCAUUUUUUUUAUAACUAUUUUUGUCCAAACUCUUGACAGUGAAUGAUAUAACAAAUGAAAAAAAUGAAUAAACCACCUGUGGCGGCGGCAUAGUGGUUGGGCGCUGGUUCCUUUCACAAGAGGUCCAAUGUACAAAUCUCUGCGUCGUUUGCCUUGUUGGAAAGGAACCUACGACUUACCCGGGGAGCAAGGGUGGUGCUAACUCUACUCCUUCUAGGGUUUACUCCAACCGCGAAGCAGCGCACGGAGGUUCCCUGGGUUACCAAAACAAAAAAAAAAAUGAAAAGAACGAAUAAGGAAAAUUAAGAACUAGACAUUUUCGACAUCUAAGAAACACAAGAAGAUUGGAGAUAACAAUAAUGUAAAAAGAUGAGGAAGUUUUUUGUCUCAUUGGGGCAUGGUGGACAAAGUUUAUACCUAUUAAAGUGCCUAAUCUGAUUACAGUUCACUAAGAGUGUAAGUUGUUGAAUUGUAAACCAACUAAUUGGUUGUCAUUCAUUCUCACUCUAAAAAUCCCAUGUUGAAAUUUGAGGAUGCUUCCAGAUUCGUCUCAUCAAUAGUGCAUUCAACUAUGUCCUCAUUGGAUUUAUAUUUGUCUAGUCUCUUUUAUCUCUCAUUGAAUAUUGACCAAAAGAUUAAGAAUACACAUGAGAUGAUAGCAUGUCACGUUCACACGUACGAAAGGUCCUCUGUUGGCCAAACAAUUACCCAGAACCUCUCGUCAUCUGACAAAACACAUAAGAUCCAAAGAGGUAGUGGCCAUUCUCCUAAAAGUCUUUUGUCUUUUUUAAAGUACUUUAUAGACUCAUUAUGGAUAGAAUCUCUUAAAGUAGAUAGUGGGGGGAAAAGAAGACCUACUUGACUUCAUGGAAACCUUUUUAAAAGACUAUAUGGACUAAUUGUCGAAAAAUGGGGGAAAAAGGUCCAUCAUACCCAAAUAAUACAUAAACCUUGACUCGAUCAAGACUAGGGGAGAAUAUCUUCCAUUGACAGUGCUUCCAAAUUCGUCUCAUCAAUAGUGCAUUCAACUAUGUCCUUAUUGGAUUUAUACUUGUCUAGUCUCUUUUAUCUCUCAUUGAAUAUUUGACCAAAAAAAUGAAGAAUACACAUGAGAUAAUAGCAUGUCACGUUCACACGUACGAAAGGUCCCCUGUUGGCCAAAUAAUUACCCAGAACCUCUCGUCAUCUGACAAAACACAUAAGAUCCAAAUAGAUAGUAGCCAUUCUCCUAAAAGUCUUUUAUCUUUUUUAAAGUACUUUAUGGACUCAUUGUGGACAGAAUCUCUUAAAGUAGAUAGCGGGGGGGAAAAAGACCUACUUGAUUUCAUGGAAACUUUUUUAAAAGACUCUAUGGACUAAUUGUCGAAAAAUGGGGGAAAAAUGUCCAUCCUACCCAAAUAAUACAUAAACCUGGACUCAAUCAAGACUAGGGGGAGAAUAUCUUCCAUUGACAAUGCUUCCAAAUUCGUCUCAUCAAUAGUGCAUUCAACUAUGUCCUCAUUGGAUUUAUACUUGUCUAGUCUUUUUUAUCUCUCAUUGAAUAUUGACCAAAAAAUGAAGAAUACACAUGAGAUGAUAGCAUGUCACAUUCACACGUACGAAAGGUCCCCUGUUGGCCAAACAAUUACCCAGAACCUCUCGCCAUCUGACAAAACACAUAAGAUCCAAAGAGGUAGUGGCCAUUCUCCUAAAAGUCCUUUGUCUUUUUUAAAGUACUUUAUAGACUCAUUGUGGACAGAAUCUCUUAAAGUAGAUAGUGGGGGGGAAAAGAAGACAUACUUGACUUCAUGGAAACCUUUUUAAAAGACUAUAUGAACUAAUUGUCGAAAAAUGGGGGAAAAAGGUCCAUCCUAUCCAAAUAAUACAUAAACUUGACUCGAUCAAGACUAGGGGAGAAUAUCUUCCAUUGACAAUGCUUCCAAAUUCGUCUCAUCAAUAGUGCAUUCAACUAUAUCCUCAUUGGAUUUAUACUUGUCUAGCAUUUUUUUUUAUCUCUUAUUGAAUAUUGACCAAAAAAUGAAGAAUACACAUGAGAUGAUAGCAUGUCACGUCCACACGUACGAAAGGUCCCCUAUUGGCCAAACAAUUACCCAGAACCUCUCGUCAUCUGACAAAACACAUAAGAUCUAAAGAGGUAGUGGCCAUUCUCCUAAAAGUCUUUUAUCUUUUUUAAAGUACUUUAUGGACUCAUUAUGGACAGAAUCUCUUAAAGUAGAUAGUGAGGGGAAAAGAAGACCUACUUGACUUCAUGGAAACCUUUUUAAAAGACUAUAUGGACUAAUUGUCAAAAAAGGGGGGAAAAGGUUCAUCAUACCCAAAUAAUACAUAAACCUUGACUCGAUCAAGACUUAGCAAUGGCUCUAAACUAGUAUAUCUGAGAUACUCUUCAUCAAAUCGAUGUAUAAAAUAUAGUUGCAUUUUCAUUUAUAAGACAUUAUAUAUACUCUAUCAUAUGGUUUUAUGCAAUACAUUAUGCAGUGUAGGGCUAAAAAAUUAAUUAAUGUAUUUCAAACUAAAUCAUAAUCAAUAACCACAUACUCAACUUCAUGUGAGAGAUCAGCAAUCUAAACAUUCAUUAUAUUUGCGAAUGCCUUAUGUUAAAAAAUAUAGCAUGGAAGUAUGCAUGGCAAAGAAACAAAAUGCUAGGACUCGCGUAGCGAUAGCAAAUGAUGAGAUUGCAAGAAAUUGAUUGAAAUAUUGUUGUCAUAUCAUUUAACUUGUCAUUAAUGAGAAUCAAGGAUUUGAUUCCAUUCGUGGUCCAGUCAUAUCAAAAAUCAUUUAGGCUAUAAACAAAAUGUGGAUCUUAAUUAAUGUCCCUCUAUUUUUAUGCAGUCCUAUCUGCUGUGCUUUUUCAAAAAAUGAAACUAUCAUUCAUAUUUUAGAUUUUGAAAAUGGAUCAAGCUAAAAAGAUAUUGCUUGUAGACAAAGGUGAGGAGAGUCGGAGACACCUCGCAUUGGUUAACAUUUGUCCUCAUUAUGAAUAAAUUAUCUCGAUGAUUGUUCAUGGUUUUGAGUAAAUUAACGAGGCUUGGACUAUGCAACACUUUUAGUCUUGCAGGUAAUUGGGGGAGAAAAAAAAGAUAUCACCACCGGGUCUAAUCCACCUAGGAACUAGACCGGUCAAUCCGAUUCCAAGCCCAGCUGGGCCAGUUCCCAUUUCCACAAAUUAACAAUUCUCCCCCACCUUAGAAUGUCUACAAAGCACUCCUUUCUUAAUGCCUGGAAAAACUCUUGAUGGAUAGUUGAAUAACCAAAAUUAUAUUAGGCUCCGUUCGUUUCGCGGAAAAUGUGGAGUUUCUAAAAAAUAUUUUCCAAGAAGUCAUUCUCAAAAAAAAAAAAUGUAAUUAUUUUUCGGUGUUCGGAUGAAACUUGAAAAUGAAGUGAAAAAUAUUUUUCGCUAUUUGGUAAGGAAAAUAUUUUCCUUCAUAUACUCUUUUUCAUUAAUUUUAUAUUUUAAAAUGGAUUUUUCAUAUUUUUAAGAAUUGAUUUUUAAUUAUUUUUUAUUUUUAAAAUCUAUUAUUAAUUUUUUUUCAUUUUUCUUUUUAUUUUUCUUUUCUUUUUUCUUUGUUUUCUAUCUCCUUCUUUCUUGAUUGGUCGCUAGUCACGGCGAUGGCCUGUGACCGACCACCUAUGAGCCUCGAGCUCGCCAACGAGCACGAGGCUCGCCACUCCCUAGAUUGUUGAGCAUGAGCAUCAAGCUCGAGGCUCGCCAGAUUGACAAGUGUGAGCUUAAGAUCAACAAGCUUGAGACUUGGCAACGGCUGACGACUAGCCAAGAAAGAAGAAGAUGAGAAACAAAGAAAAGAAAAAUAAAAAAAAAAAUAAAAAAAGAAAUAGAAAAGAAAAAGGAAAUUAAAAAUAAUUUGAAUAAAAAAGAAAAAGAAAAUAUAAAGAAUAAUUCGAAUAAAAAAAGAAAAGAAUAAGAAGAAAUGGGAGGACGAAGUGAGGAUUUGUAGAAGUGUGAGAUAAGAGAGAUUAAGUUAGAAAAAUGUUUUCCACUUUUCAAAAGUAAAAAACAUUUUCCCCUAAUUUGGAAGACUUUUUUCCUUUCAUGGAAAACAUUUUCCUCAAUGAAUUUAUUUUCUAUGAAACGAAAGCCAGAAAAUCUAGAAAAUGUUUUCCCGGAAAUUAUUUUAUGCGAAACGAACGGAGCCUUAGAGAGAAAAAAUUCAAACUAGGGAAAAAUAUGGCAUUUAAUUUUAUUUCGGGUCUGUGGAAUAUAUGGAAUAUCCCAUACUUUGUCAUACUAAACCUCUUGUUUCAAGUCUUUUUCAUUCAACUUGCACCCCUUUAAAAAAAAUAAAAAAGCGAACUAUCGUAUCAUUUUUCAUUUACCGUUGAGCUACUUGAUGGCUGUAGUUUUUCCAAAAUCAAAUUGAAUAUCUUGUGCAAUCAUUAUUUAAUCUGCCAAAUGUAGAAAAUAAAUAACCAAUUUCACGAAGAAACAUUUUUCUUAUGUUAUCUUUCCCAUUUAGUCAUUGUUAAUAGAUAAGAAGACAAGUUUAAUAUCAGAGCCUCAAUUUUACAGCUGAUCUCUUUUCAUGAAUGAAUACAAUGAAAAUCGUUAGAGAAAAGAGACGAUUAUUAUAUUUGAAAGAAUAGAUUUAGUUUCCCUACCGGUGAAGGAAAACAAUAGGCUUAGUGACUUAUAUUGAGUCCACAACAACAAUAAAUGGUUUUGGCUCAAUAAUAAUAAUAAUGAAAAUAUAGAUUUAUAGUAAUGGAUAACCAAAAUGUAAGAAACAAACUCGAUUUAUUUUGCCACUUGAUGUUAAUAAUCCAUAUUUAUGGCACUGAUCCCUAAGGUUUUGGCUCUCGUUUUGUAUGAUUUAUUUAGAGAUGUUACAAAUUUUUUAGGAUAAAUUCGAUUAAAGUGGAUGAGGAAGAAUUAAGUUGGAUAAAUUCAAUGCUAGUCAAAUAAGACAGAAGAACUUGUUACUAAAAUGAUUUAGCUCAUAAAAUAAUUGUAAGAGAGAUCAUGUCACUAGAUAUUGUCUUUCUAUGUUUUUCUUUUUGAUCGACGAUUGUUUUAGAGUGGAAAAGCACGUCAAGAAUGGAAUCCCCUCCUUGCCUCUCGUGGUUGGAUGAAGUCAAAAAUUGACAAGGCACAACGGCCGAUGUCUACAUUAGUUAGUCACCUAGCAAUUUCAUCGUCUGGUGAGGGGUUGCUAGUGUGAAACCUGAGAUCAUAUAACAAAAGAAUAAUGAUGAUCACUAUUAACAUGAUUUGUCUAUUGCAAGCGUGAGGAAGUAUGUUUUCUUGGGCACAUUGGUAAGAAUAUUUUACAUGAAUUGCCACAUCAUUAGGCUCGUUGACAUUGAUAUUCUUUCUCGUAUACAACUCAUCUUUAAUUAUUCAGAUUGUCACAUUUUCCACUCAAUAUGUGCAUCGUGAAUAUAAAACCCCAAGGAGAUGGAGAUGGCCCCUUUGAUAAGGAGACGGAAUGGGAGUGCUUGUCUUCUUGUUUUGUCAGUUGUAUGACAUCAAUCGUUAGGCGUCAUACAAAAGCAUGCAUCGUGAUAGGCUUAUUGAUCUGCAAAAGUACGAAUUCCAUACGCAAUGAGGUUAAACUCCGGAUCCGGAUUACUAUAAUAAGUAAGACCGGUGGUUGAUUUUAUAAUAUAGUCUUUGUUUAUAAUCUCAAAGGCAUAAUUUAACAUGAAAUUUUAAUAAUAGUGGUUAUUGGUUGAAAACUUACCAGCCAUUAAUAUACGCAUUUCAAAUAUUAUCGUCAUAUUAACAAGGGCUAAUACCACGAAAAAAUCUCAAAUCAGUACAUUUAUGAUAAAUUUAUUUCAAACUAAUUUUCGGAUCAUCUAAAAUUCUAAAUUGGUAUAUCUGUGAUAAAUUUAUCGUAAAUUAAUUUUUAGAUAUCGAAUUCUCUAAAUUAAUAUAUUUGUGACAUAUUUACAUAAAUAAAAGUUGUAAGUGUUUUUUUGUUUACUUUCCUAUAAAAAAAUUAUAAGAUUAUGUAAAUUUCAAAAAAUUAUGCAAAAAAUUACUAGUAACAUUUCACUGUUUUUUCGACCAAAAUAGAAAAAAAAAAAACAUUUCACUGUUUCACAAUUGUAUAAAGCUCAAUUCCUAGUAGGAAAAAAUCACUUAGGAUGAAGUUACAAAAAAGAAUUUCCUUGCGAAUUCUCCUUCUCCGAGAUCAAUGGUCAAACUUUUGAUUAAGCAAGGAUAUAAACUUAAUCGGGUGUCCGAAAAUCGAUGAAGUUAAGAGAUACUGCGUGUAGAUGUGGACCAGAGUCAGUUCCCCACAUGGGUCGAUUUUGUCCUCAUUAUGAAUUAAUUAUCUCGAUGGUGGUCCAGAGUAAAUCAACGAGGUUUGAAAUUUGAGGAAAAUCACAGCCGGCCAAACGAUGAUGCAACUUCCACUCUUUACCAGAGAUAAUAAAUCUAUAUGAUAUAGAGAGGGAGUAGGCGAGAAAAUAUAAGAAAUAGCGUAUACUAUAUCGACGAAACUUAUUCAGCACAUGCAAUCUUAAGUUACAAAUUUUAUAUUUUCCUAUAAUUUUUCAUUCUAUGACAGCUUAUAUUGUCUAAAUAAAAAAGAAAGAAACUAAGAGAACCAGUUCGGGUCGUAGAAAUUCAUAAUUUAGAAAUACUAAAUAAAUAAAUAAAGAUACAGGAAGAUUUCUGCGGCGGAAUAUCUACCUGCUUUGGUGGGAGAUACCUUUUUGAAGCCUCUCACUUAUGAUUACUCCACUUUGGCUACAGCUUCCCGUUUCCUUUUUUCCCAUUUCUUUGGCUUUUUGGGUGACUUUUGUCACGUGAAGCAAGAUCAUAAUCGAUGGAUUUAACAAUUAAUAACCUGAUACCGUCUUCCACUUUUAUGGACACACGACCCCAAGUAAACAUUUAAUUUAAUCCAUCUGUCCACGGGUUUCCUCCCGGACCUUUCAUUUCCCUGUACCACGCUCCCGUGUUUCGAGGGGAAGGCGUCAUGGGGAUCUAGACUACCUCCCCUACUCCCGUAAGGGGGUUGUGGACGGGAGAGGCAAUGGGGUCAAAAUCUUUUUCGAGGCCUGAACCCGCCUCUACCCGGACUUUUCCGGUGGUCAGAGCCUUUUAAGGUCCUACUCAAGACCGAAACAUUUAAUUUAAUCCAUUAGUAGUUAAAACACCUCAUGCUAUUUUGUGCACCAUUUCAUUUGCGAAAUGGAUAGUCCGAGAUUGCUUAACUUUUUAAGAUUUUUGCAUAAAUACCAUAUUCUAACAACAAGUAAAAGGAAUCAUCUCAACACACACAUACAUUCCCCACUAUUCCUCCUUUUACAUUUUGUUGUAGCCAAAAUUAUAUUAGAGAUGAGCGAUCACAUUCAAGCUAAGCAAAAAACAUGGUAUGUAGCUCCAUUUCGAAUCUAUGAAACAAAUGGAAUACACCAAGUUUCAUCAUGUUAAGCCUCUCACUUCAAGUCUUUUUUAAGCUUUGGCUUCAAAACAUUUAUGCUUCGAUCUCUUAAUUGGAACCAUGGUAUUAGUACGGUCUUUGUAGACUCAUAAUUAAUCUAUUCAAGAUAGACGUUGCUGCACGAGGAAAUCUUAAAACUUAUUACAAAAGUGCAAUUGAGUCAUAUAUUCAAAAAGUGCCAUCAAGUUCUAAAAGUUAUCAUGUUGAUUCAAUCAAGUCUUUUCUUUGAUUGCAAUUUUUGAAAAUUUUAAAACUCGAUUGUAUUUUCGUAACAAAAAUUUUAAUAUUUGAUUGCACUUUUUAGAUGUUUUAAGACUCGAUUACAUUUUCCUAAUAAGUUUUAGGAUUUGAUUACACUUUUGAAAAUUUUAGGACUCAAUUGCACUUUUGUGAUAAGUUUUGAAACUUGUAUUGUACUUAUCCCUAAAUGUAAGAUGAAAUUUUUCUAAGAAAGAAUUCGAGAUGUUUAGCAUUGAGUAGUAAUUAUUUCUGAUUCAGGCAACUUUAAAUAAGGUCAAGUUGUCUCAAGCGAUAAUAAUAUACUACUAUUAAUUUUUUAUAAAUAUGAUGGAAUUUUUAUACGACUUUAAUUGUCAUUCUACAUACGAUUGAAAACUCAACCUUCAAUCAACAAAAAAUGUUAUGCAAAUAACUCGUUUUCAUGACGAUGGUAGAAUCGUAAUACAUUCUAAUCUAACAGAGGAAAAAGGAAAAACUAUUGCAGAAGGUUAGAUAGAUUCUUGCGAACCCUCAGCAACCUCAGGAACACAUUGAACCUGUCCCCCAAAAACGACAGCACCCGCACCACUCAUUGAAUCAGGGGAAGAGCAAGGCCAGUGACAGCACCCGCACCACUCAUUGAAUCAGGGGCAGAGCAAGGCCAGUGCUCUGCUCUGCACGUCGCCGCCUAACCAAUCGUCUUAACAAUUAAAAAUAAUAAUACGCAUUAUUACAUUCAGAGCGAGAGGGAGGGGAUGUUCCAAAUAUACCCUUUUUUUCAUUAUUACGCUCUGCUCCACACUUGGAAGUUUCAAGGCUUCCUUAUAAAGUCUGCAAAGCAUUGUUUUCUUGAUACAUGUAAACUCUCUAGAUGGAUUGUUGAGAGAAUAGUUUUGUUCUCAUCAAUCUUAUAUUGGAUAGGAGCAAUAAAAUUCAAACGAAGCAGGAACAUGGUGUUUAGCUCCAUUUCAAAUCUGUGGAACCAAUGGAACAUCCGAGGUUUUGUCUUGCUAAGCCUCUCACUUCAGGUCUUUCUUAUUAUAUUUUCACCCAUUAGAAAGAAAACGGAAACGAUCGCAUCACUUUCCUCUUAUGGUUGGCCUAUUUGCUCGCUGACUGGGUAGCUACAUUUGCACUCGGGCUCAUCUCUCACAACCAAGGUAAUUUGUGCACUCAUGCAACUGAAGUAGACAAAGCACUUCAGGCAUUUUGGGCCUCAUUUCUCUUGUUACAUCUUGGCGGUCCGGACACUAUCACUGCCUUUUCUCUAGAGGAUAGUUCACUUUGGCGACGACACCUGCUUAAUCUCAUCUUCCAAAUCAGUGCUGCCAUUUACGUAUUUGGGCAGAUAAUUCCUAGCGACAGGUCGCUGAUGAUCCCAACAAUGCUGGUUUUCCUUGUUGGGGUCAUAAAAAAUGCAGAGAGAAUAGUAGCACUUAAUCUCUCAAGCCUCCCAAGGCUCAAGGAAUGGGUGCUCUCACAGCGCGAGUCCGUUGGGGCUAAUGUUGUUCCCCGGAUAAGGACGCUCCUUUCGACGUAUCAUAAGGAAGAUGAAGCAAUCGAUUAUUCUGAAGAAGAUGAAGCAAAGACUAGUGAGAGCACUGUGGUGGAGCUAGCGUACUACUUCUUUCAAAUCUUUAAGAUUUUCCUCGAAGAUCUCAUGUUCACAUUUGAAGAACACAAUAUGAGCCUAGAAUAUUUCCGCCACAUUUCUGCAAUGGAGGCGUUGAGGCCGAUGUCACUUGAACUUCAGUUCAUUUACGAAGUGCUUUACACAAAAACGUUAGCAAUACGUUUUAAGUUGAGCUACUUUUUCCACUUCGUAAGGGUGUUGUGGUGGCUUUCGUCCUCUUCAAUCGCUUGAAGAAUUACUUAUAUCCUUCUUUUUGGAGGGAUUGUUCUCGAUGUGAUAGCUCUAUUCAUGCUCAUUUUCUCAGAUUGGACCCUUGUCGAAAAUAUGCAGAACAACUCCAAAUCAUCUAGAUUAUAUUCGCUUAUGUACAAAUUGGCAUAUGACAAGUAUAAGCUGAGGGAGCCCCGAUACGUCACAUGUGAAGUAGAGCCUAAUGCUAAUGUUACUUACGAGGCCUUACAUACACCAUUAAUAUUUCGAAGGUGGUCAGAAUCCAUCUCAACUUGUAACCUCUUAUCCAUGAGCUUGAAGGAGAGUCCGAGAAGCUUGGGCAGCAUUGCUUCUUCUAAUCUGUUUGAUUUUCCAUUCCAUAUGGCUGAGAAAAUCUUCUCUUAUUUCCAUCAAGCCGGUGAGACAAUCACCAGACGUUGUGGACUGAGGACCACCAAAGGGAAAAAAUUAAUGAUUACAAAGACAAAGUACGUAUCCAAGAAUCCUUUUCUUAAAAAGCUGUGGCUUUUUAUCUUUGAGGAGGUGAGACGUAAAUCCAGUCCUAAACAUGAUGCGCAAAAGGUAUCUGAGACCAGAGGUCGUUAGUAUCUCGAGAGUUUAUCGGAUGGAAACAAAUCUGUCAAUCUUCUAAAGGAUUUCAUUGUGGGUACUUACAAUGACAAUAUUAUAAUAUGGCAUAUUGCUACUGAAAUCUGGUACAACAAAGAGAAAUCUAUGGAAAAAAAAGAUGAAAGGGAAUUAGCAAGAUCCUCUCUGACUAUAUGCUGUAUCUGUUAAUCAAUCUAAUGUUAUGUCCGUUGUGGUAGGCAUUGCCCAAAUCAUAGUAGGGGAGACGUUGGGGGAGUCACUAGAAUUACUCCACAUGAAUGAUAAGACCCGGGAUGUGGAUAAGCAAUUGUUUGAGAAAUCUGAAGAAUCAUUGAAAGAUGUAUACCAUUCGAAAUCCAUGCUCAGUCAGGGGACCGAUUUAGCUAAAAAGAUGAAAGAGCUCGGGGAAAUGAAGUUGAAGGUGAUGAGCGGAGUAUGGGUUGAGAUGCUGUUAUAUGCAGCGGUUCAUAUUAAGGGAGAAGUACAUGUGCAGGUGCUUAACAAAGGUGGAGAGCUUCUUGCUUUCAUUUGGCUGUUGAUGGCUCAUUCCGGUCGUGUCUACGAUCCUCAUUUGGGCAACUUUUAUGCCCGCUCUGAUUAGAGUGAGUGAUAGAUUCGCGUCAACUAUCUUAUUUACCAUCCUCAUGGCUUUCCUACUGGUGUUCGUACAAAUAGAAUUUAAUAGUCUGUGUAUCUUCGUGACUAAUGCCAAGAAUUGAUGGAUUUUCAUUAGAGGGCUGUGCAGCACUGUCCAGACCGUGGACAGCGAGCGUUCAGUCUUGUUUGGUUCAUUAGACGAGCACCGGGCCAACCCUCAGGGGUUCCCGUGGCGAUGUGGUUUUUGAAUAAUACUAAGCCAAUUUCAAGUCCUAAUGACACACGACACGCCUGCUACCAGACUUCAUGCAUGCUUAAUAGGGGACGUUUGGUGGGCCUUUGUUUGGGUAUUGCAUCUUUGAGGUGUCUCGGGUU
Molecule: long non-coding RNA, 49800 nt
Filed under: Eucalyptus grandis
Lineage: Eukaryota; Viridiplantae; Streptophyta; Magnoliopsida; Myrtales; Myrtaceae
Description: long non-coding RNA (EGRA_LNC004266)
Source: RNAcentral